Molecule: long non-coding RNA, 45294 nt
Filed under: Nicotiana tabacum (common tobacco)
Lineage: Eukaryota; Viridiplantae; Streptophyta; Magnoliopsida; Solanales; Solanaceae
Description: long non-coding RNA (NTAB_LNC003410)
Source: RNAcentral
GGACACCAAAAGCCAAACCUAUCCCAAGUGGCGACUCUGAAAUAAAUAAAUAAUCCAAUUUUCGAAUAAUAUCACUUAAAAUUGAAAAACUCCCACACGAAUUUAUCAUUCAGGGUAGGUGCGCAAAAAGGAGAUGUGACACUGUGCAAUUGUGGGCUGUAGUAGGCUACCUAGGUUGAGGUCCAUGCAAGUUGGCUAGGACUCAACACUCAUAAUAAAAAUGAUGUCAUUAAUUAUUGACUUACAACAUGCUCCCACUAACUCAAAGUAGUUUUUAAAUCACUGGAAAGUCAAGUCAGAGUAAUUUGUACUCUGUCACACCAUGAUGAAAAAUAACGGGAUAAUUGUUCUAUCCUGAAUUCACGAGAAGAUAUUGUGUUCCCUUGGAACAAUGACAGGAAAUUCAAUGGUCAAAGGAGGGAGUCUGAUCGCAUGAAGAAAAAGACUUUCUGGAUCAGUGACCGGGCAAUGUUCAGAUGAGGGACUCCAUAUCUAACAUGCCCGGUCAAACUCAAGAUAGUGGAGCGACUUGAGUUUGAACCACCGGGAAGUUAAGGCAAUAUGGUAAGGAGGUAGUGUUGUUGAAGAAGCUUUCAGACUGCAGCCUUUAGUAACAUACUGAAAAAGUUUUUCCAUCUUUUUUUCCUCACCUUCAAUCAUAAGCAGUUCAUUCUUGUGGCUGGAUAGUUGAAAGCUGAUGUCAUUUAAUUCCCUACAAAGACUCUACCUGUUGGGUAUUUCAUAAGUAGGAACACUGAUUUCACUUCUUCAACUUGUUGUAUUGGCAUUCUGUUGAUUUCAUUUUUCUUGAGAUGGUCAUGUUCAUGUCCUGAUGCACCGAUCCAUAGGUGUGAAACUAUGGUGAAGGAAGACAUUAAAAUGAUGGGCAGACCUAAAAUCACAUGAAAGGAACUUGUCUCGAGAGACCUACAAAUUCUUGUAGUGUAGGUUGCAUUCCUCCAUGCCGCUUAUGAAUGGUGUAUCAUUUGGUUAUGAAAUUAUAAGGCCUUUGGGUUUCUUUCUUAUUAAGUUCUCUUCCACUGUUCUUUGCACAUCUGCUUGCCUUUGUCUACCUUAUUUCCUCCUUCUUGACAGGUCUUGGUCAUCUUACUUUUGUACUAACUCUAUCUUACCUACAGGGAGGUCUUAUGGUGACUAGAAUGGCAUAUAUGGCCAGGGAAUAUCAGAAGAAGCAUUAGGCUGAAAAACCUGAAGUUGCACAAGCGAAUCAAAGAUAUAAAGAACAAGCAAAUGAGGUGUUUAUGAGACUGUUUCUUCUAGAGCUGAAGAAUGUUUCCAGUACUUGGGAUUGGAAGCAAGAGAAGUCUCUCAAGCAGAAGAAGAUAGCUUUCACUAUGCAUGAGGAGUGUCGUCAGGCUAUCAUGGAUCAUUUCAAGCGUUGAGUACUGUAAGAAGCAAAGAGAAGCCAGGGAAACUACCCCUGCAACAAGUGGCGGAGCCAGAAUUUACAUCAAGGGGUGUCUAAUAUAAAUAUAAAUAUAAAUAUAUAUAUAUCAAAAAAUUUAGGGGAGUCAACAUAUAGUAAAUAUACAUAAAAUAGAAAAAAUUAUCUAGCAAUACAAUGUAAUUUUCCGUUGUUGUUGAAUGUGGCUCUGCCAUUGUCUGCAACUUUGCAUAGCAUAUAAGAGCUUAGACAUAGUUAUUAAGUAUCAAAGAAUUUGAUGAAAGUUUAUGUUGAAAAACAUAGUAUGCAUAAUUUGAGAUAGUCAUUUAUGCAUUUAGAAAGAACCACUUCUUUUAAUCACGUGAAACAUUUAUUGCGCUCUAAUGUUCUGGCAAGGAGCUUCCUCACGGUGAGCUCGCUAUUUGCCUUAAUCUAUGUACUGUCUCCCUAGGCAGCCUGGUAGUGCUCCGUGGUAUUGCCAAGCCAUGCGAGCUAACCGUGGGGAGGCAGCUUUUUUGCUCGGACUUCAAAUUGUGAUGUUUUUGUUGCUAUUUUGUCAUUCCAACACUCUUCCAAAUCAUACCAAACGCCCAUUAUCACGCCUCCAUCAUAUCACCUACAUCAUGGGAUCCAGUUAACAUAUUUGUGACACUUUAAUCAUGUCAUUAGAUCGUAAUUGACGUUUAAAAGUAUGGGAUCUAUAUUUUCUCCCACUUAAUUAGGAACAUUCAUCCUUGAAGGUUAGACAUGUCAUUCUUAAGGCUACUAUUGAACAUAGACCUGCGUGCAAAAUAAUGUUAGAAACCGUAAGAAAAAUUGGCCAAACACGUUAUUGCUUGUCAGUACAUCUUUGCAGUAAGUCUUCUUACUUAUCUGUAUAUAUAAUAAGGCCUCGUUACAAAGACCUUUUAAGUUUUAAGUGUUGAAAUUUAAUAUUUAUUUAUAGUAUUAUUUUUAUAUUUAUCACUUAAUAGAAAAAGAUUAACGACCCGUUUACCAUAGAUUUUGCCAAAAUAUAUUUGGUUUUUUUUUUUUGGCAAAUACAUGUUUGGCCAUAGAUUUUAUCUAUAUUUUGGCAAAUUUCCAAAACCCAAAACCUAAAUCCCAAAACCAGCUCAAAAUAUCACUAUUAUAUUUUUUAAAAUUGCCCCAAACUUUUGUAUUUUAUAAAAGAGUCCAUCUUUUAUUAUUUUAUAACAAUGCUACUUCGUCUUCUCGGUCAUCUGAUAGUGUAUUAUGUAGUUCAUUAUAAAAAUGAUAAUUUUGUACCAAAUUUAUUUAUGUUCAGGACUAUGAUUUGCGAUAAUAUAAUAAAUGUUAUUGAUAAAGGCACCAUUGGGUAUUUAUGAUAGUUUUUCACCAUUGGGUAUUUAUGAUAGUUUUUAGAACUUGCGGGUAUAAGUCAUGUUCCAUGUUUUUCACAAAAAAAGUGAAAUAUGUUUUGAAAAUUUAUGUCCAAACACAUUUUCAUCUUCAAACCAAACUUCAUUCAAAUCAGAUUUUGCAAAAUAAUUUUGGGAAUCUAUGACCAAACGUUAGCUAAGAGGCCUGAAAUUUCAGGAUGCUGCUUCGCAGCACUAAAGUUUUAGCCUUGUGAGCCAAAAAUUUCCUUCUCUGUCUACUGUAAGAAUACAUAUUCCUUUUGUGAUUUAAAUUCAAUGUCUAGUGAUUAACUAAAAAUUUAGACACAACAAUCUUGAUUAAUUAAAAUUAUUUAUUAUGUUUGAAUCACAUAAGGAUAUUAAGGACUAAUGUUUAAGUGAUCUAAGUAUUUUUUCUAAUAAAAUUGCCACAACAUCUUUGGUUGAAUAAAAUUUAAAGUUAAGGAUAUCAUAAGGAAAAAGAUAUUGAUAUUGUAAUUGAUUAUGCAUAAUAUAAUAACUUCAGAACUUUUAUUAUAUUUUUGCAUAAUUGAUUAGGAUAAAAUAUUAAAUGUUAUUUCAUAAUUACCUACUGUCACACCUCUUUUUUCCGAGGGAAUGUGGAGUUUUUUCCAAUUAAAGUGACAUUAUUCAAAAUGAAAUUAUUUAUUUAAUUUAGAGUCUCCACUUGGAAUAAUUUAUGGUGUCCCAAGAUAGCAGUUUAUUUUAAAUCCCAAAUCGAGGAAAUUUGACUCUUAUUUAUGUCUGCGAACACAAAAGACCGAGUAAGGAAUUCUGUUAACCCGGGAGAAGGUGUGAGGCAUUCCCGAGUUUCGUGAGUUUAGCACGGUCUCUCAACUAGUAUUAAUUGGCCUAAUUAAGUGAAUUAUUACAUGUUUAGAGCCUAUUGUGCAUUUUUUACUUUCUAACCGCUUUUAUUUAACUGUUUUGAGUAUUUAUGGAAUUUAUUUGAACAAGUUGCGAUGUCGCGCACUCAUUUAUUUUUGUACACAUUGCGAAUCGUGUCACGUGAAACGCACCCGCGAUUUAUAAUUUAUUAUUAUUUAAAGUUAUGGUUGAGUCACGUAAAAUACACACUCGAAUUGGGAUUAUGCAUCAUGACUAUGCUACAGGAAUUGUACCCAUAGUCACGAUAAUUUAUUAGUCGCGCCUAAAGCAAGCUACGAUGUUCAUGAAUAAUUAUUAUUCCUAAGUUUGAGAUCGAUCAUGAAGGUCCAAAGUUUAUGGAAAAGCGUAUGAUAGUGCUUAACUAGACAACUUCAAUUAUUUAACAAGUUCAAAUUAAUAUCUUUUGUUCUUCCUUCAAUUAGCAAACCACUAAUAAUAAACUAAGUGGGUGUUCUUUUCUUGAUUACUUAUAUCAAACAUGGAUUAUUGCGAGAAAAAUUAUGGCAAGCCUCACUACGCUGGGCCUUCAUAUUAAACCUCCAAUCAGGUCAUGCAAACAAGAAUAGAAAUGGGUUCACUGGAGUCCGAAAGUGACUCUUGAAAAUGGCUAGCCCUUUAAGUAGGCCAACAAAUCUUUUGUGGGGACUUAAACCAUUAAUCCAUACAUUUGUCGAGUCCAAACUGACUCUCAUUUCAUACACGGUCCAUCGAUGUGUAGUUUUCUUAACGUGAUUUUGAAAGGCACAAAUCAAUAAAUACACAUGUUUAUACUACAACAUAUUCAACAUAUUGAAGAAACAGAACCAAAGAAGAACAUAGCCACACAUGUAAUUUCUUCUAACAAACUACAGUAUCAUCCAUUAUUACAUUCACAAUUACCAAGAUCUAGAGCAUAUAACAAAUUUACAUGCUUUCAGUUCCAUAUGACCUUCAACGAAUGACCUUCAGCUAUCCAAAUUUCCUAUGACUUUACCUGUUUCUCAUUAAAGAUUUAACCAAAUACUUGAUUUUUCCAGUAAUUUCAGAGAUUAAAGAAGGAAAGAACUUCAAAUAGAUUUAGACUUUAGACAUGUUGAAUCCAAACUAUUGAACAUAAUUAGAGAAAGCAGUAUCAUAAUCUUAACAUGGAAAUAAUAUAAAAUGCUUAAUAACUUCACAUGCUAAGUCUAUGCAUUUGGCCAUAAUUAUGACAAAUAGAUCGAAUUUUCUCAUAUAGACUUCAAACAGGGGCAACAGAUAUGUGAACAUACCUAAGUAACCAAAGAAUAAUAGAGAAUGGUCAAAGGAUGGUUUGAAAAUGAAAUAGGAAAUCCAGCAAGUCCAGCAACAGUGGAUUCAAUAACUUCAACACCUCUAUCAGCUCAAUCGACUCAGAGAAAACCAGAAAAUAUAGUGAUUGAAUAGAAAUCAGAAAACCAACUCUAGACUUCCUUCUUCAUCCCUUUUUAUGACCUUUUUCCUUGCCUUUUUGGGAGUUUUAAACUUUUUCUAAAUCUGAAGACUAGAGGUUGAAAUCCAGAUUUUUGUUUGAAUUAAAAAAAAUGAGGAGAAGAUAGUGAAUUCUCUUAAAAUUUCUCUCGACAGUGUGAAAAUUAGUCUCAAAAACGAAGAAAAGAGUAUGAAUUUCAGAGUGUGUUUUCGUGUGUGUGAGUGAGUAAUAUAUGGCCCUCUUAUAUAGAGUGUGAGAAUAUGUUAUGUGCACACAAAAAUUAGAGAAUAAUUCUGGAAUGUCAGUCUCUAAAUUUUAGGAAAAAAAGCAUUUUUUUCAACUGAAAAUUGACAGUUGUCCCUGUUUCUAGAUAAUUCUUUUUAUUUCCUACCUUUUAGCUUCUGAAAAUCACCUCUUUUAACCCAAAAUGACCUAAUUCUUUCAUCUUAUUGCAUUUUAGCCCUUUUUCUAGAAGCUUCUUCUAAGCUUUCAACAGAUGAAAUUGUUCUCAUCUUAAUCAAACAUGUACUGCCCUUCUUAUGGGCAGUACCCAGACAUCUGGGCUGCCUGGCCAGCAGACCCAACUCUUCAAGCUAAAAGCCAUGUCCAAUGGGCUUGCCUGUGAAUACAGCAUGCCCAACGUCUUAAUAAAAUACACCAAUCAAAUCUGCUAGUUGGCUGAAUUAAUCCUUAAUCUAAAUAUGCAGUUAAUUCUUAAUCUAAUCAUGAAAUUGAUUCCCAAUAUAAGAAACAACAAAUUAAGAGUUAUUACCAUACUAUGUGAACUUGAAAUUACUAAAUACAACAAAAAGAAAAAGAAAAGAAAAAAAAUGAUAAACUAAGAUAUGGAAUAAUAAAAUAGUGACUAACAAGGAAAGAAGAUCAAGCUACCUACUGGCUCCAAGUGAAAAGAGUGAGAAGGAACUCCCCAAAACUGUACAGGCCCGAGCACGAAACGUCCGAUUACUGCCUUGAACUUCAGCGGCUUCGAAACGAACUAAAACUGACAUAAAUCGAUUGCUCUCGUCAUGAGCAAACGAUUCACGUAAGUUUGAGUCGAAUCGAAUCAAAUAUCAAAGAUAAACAAGAAAAAAAAGAAAACAGUUAGGAUUUUUGGGAUUCUAAGAUAAAAAAUUUGUGAGAUUUGAGUGGCUUUUUGGGGAAAUUGAUGAGGGGAUAGAGAUGAGGAGGGUGAGGAUUAUGAGGUGUUAAUUUAGGGUGGUUUGGAGUGGCACUGUAACGAUCUGACCGGUCGUUUUGAGCUUUUGCACUUUGCUCGCCAGUUCUCGGGCAUGGAUAGUCCCGUGUGAUGUAUUAUCACUCAUGUAAACCGUUGGUUUUGGUUUUCAGGGUAAUCAGAAUGAAUUUUGAAGGACAGUUCUCAGUUUGAAGCUUGAAAUUUGGAAGGUUUGACUGAGAUUUGACUUGUUUGAAUAUGAUCUUGGAUAGGAGUUUUUAUGAUUUGGUUAGUUCUGUUAGGUUAUUUGGGACUUAGGAGCGUGAUCGAAAUGCAUUUUGGAUGUCCGUAGAAUAUUUAGGCUUGAAUUGGCGAAAUUGAGAUUUUGGCAUUUUUUGGUUGACAGGUGAGAUUUUGAUAUAGGGGUCGGAAUGGAAUUUCGAAAGUUUCAGUAGCUCCGUUGUAUCAUUUUUGACGUGUGUGCAAAAUUUUAGGUUAUUCGGACAAUGUUUGGUAGACUUUUUGAUCGAAAGCGGAAUCUGGAAGUUCUUGGAAUUCUUAGGCUCGAAUCCGAUGUGAUUUUUGUGUUUUGAUGUUGUUUUGAGUGUUCCGAAGGUUGGAACAAGUUCGAAUGAGGUUAUGGGAUAUGUUGGCAUGUUUGGUUGUGGUCCCGAGGGGCUCGAGCACGUUUUCAGAUUGAUUCCGGGCUAUUUUUCCUUCAUGUUUCACUACUGUAUUCUGCUGAUAUCUGGUGCCUCAGUAUUUCAUCGCGUUUGCGAGGCACGUGUCGUGAAUGUGUAGUGUAUUCUCAUGGCAGCAGCAAAUUUCUCUUCGCGAUCGCAAAGUUUGUCCCGCAUUCGUAUAGUGUUAGGUAAUGACUUCUUCGCGUUCACGUAUGGCAUAUCGCGUUCGCAUAGAGUCGGGCUAGGAGCUGGGCUGGAGAGCCUUUCUUCAUCGCGUUCGCGAGUCUUGGGACGCGUUCACAUAGCUUUGUAUCUAGUGUGUAUCGCGUUAGCGAGGCUGGUGCCGCGAACACAUAGAGCAUUUUUGAUGGCUGGUGUUUUUGUUCAUCGCGAACGCGAUGGUUAUACCACGUUCGCGAAGAUUGUUUUUGAUGUCUGGGCAGAAUGUUUAAAUAGUCAUUGUUCGCGAUUUUGGGGCUAACUUUCAUCAUUUUUGGAGCUUUUGAGAAGGAUUGAAGAUUGAAUCGAAGGGAAACACCUGGAGGUAAGAUUUUUGAACUCAAUACUCGAUCCUAUGUCUUACUUGUUUAAUCAUGAAAUAUGUAGAAAUUAAAGCCUAAAAUUGGGGAAUUAGGGCUUGAAUUUGGAUAGUGUAAAUUGGGAAUUUGAAGGGGCAAUUGAGGUCUGAUUUUGAUAUCCUUGGUGUGUAUAAACUCGUGAGAGGAUGGAGAUUCUAUUGAUGUGACAUUUAUCGGAUUUCGAGACGUGGGCCCGAGGGCCGGGUUUGAGCAAUUUUGGGAUUUUUGAUAUAAAUUGGAUAUUUUCGAGUGGGCUUUAUUCCUUUAACAUAUUUUAAUGGUAUGUUCUAAUUAUGGCUAGAUUUGGAGCAUCCGGAGGUCGAUUCAUGAGGGAAAAGGCAUCGCAGGCUAGAGUUGGACCGGAUCAAGGUGAGUAAUGAUUGUAAAUGAUGUCCUGAGGGUAUGAAACCCCAAAUUGCAUGUCGUUGUGCUAUAUUGAGGUGACGCACAUGCUUGAUGACGAGCGUGGUGUCGUGUGUUGUUGGGGAUUGUGACUUAGUCCGUCCCGAAUGACUAUUUUACCACGUAUUUGAUUGAAAUUUAUUUGUGAACAUCAUGUUUUGGGUUGAACGCCAUAUUUGGGCCUCGUGCCAACUAUUUGAACCCUUCGGGGAUUUUUAUUAAUAUUUCCUUACUGUUUAAACUUUAUAUUUGAACUCAGUCAUGUUAUAUUCCACUAUUUUCAUACUCAACCAUGUUUACUAUGUUUUAACACUUAAAUGAUCUUUUAAAUGAUAAUUGGGCUGAGAAUCAUGUUUUACUACUGCCGAGUGGCUUGUGAGGAUUUUUGACUGAGUAAGGCCUAGGGCCUAUGUUGUGAGGAAACACUGAUCAUGAUUUGAGGCUGAGGGCCUGCGAUAUGCACGCCACGAGGUGGCUUGUUGAUAUGAGGCCGAGAGCCUAGUGAUGAUGCCACGAGAUGACUUGAUAUUGCGCUUGGGCCGUAAGGGGCCCCUCUAGGAGUCUGCACACCCCCAGUGAGCGCCGAUACCUAUUGUGAUGUGAGAUAUAGCCCGAGGGGCUGGUAUUGUUCUGAGAUAUUGCCCGAUGGGCGGAUUUGUUGACUUUGUGCCCGAGGGGCGAACCUUUAUGUGUUUAUCUUUCUUAUUUGUUUUCCAUUACCUGUUUAAUUGUUGAAAAGGUAUUUCCCUGAAGUUUAACUAAACUUAAAUGAUUUUUUCGUAUUUUUACUGGUUUUACUGCUUUAUUAUAGCCUGUAAUGUGCCUUACGUGCUUUUUUAUAUCUCAGUCGUUUAUUUAUGAUUAUUACUCACUGAGUUGGAGUACUUACUUUACUCCCUGCACCCUAUGUGCAGAUUUAGGCACAUCUGGUCCCGCUCCCGAGUGCUGAUCUUUCCAGCUCAGGCAGAUCCUAGGAGUCUCUAGGUAGCUGUCGGCGUUCGCACCCCAGAGCUUCUUCCCUAUCUUAUUUCUCCUUGUCUUAGUUUUGUAUUGAACUCUAUAGACUUUUCUUGAUUAUUCCGGAUUUUAGAUGCUCAUGACUAGUGACACCCCAGUAUCGGGCUGUGUUGAGUUUUAUUUCCGCAAACUGUACUGUUAACAGAAAAUAACAGAAAAUGAUCAAAGGAUGGUCUAAGAAUGAAAGAGGAAAUCCAUCAAGUCCAGCAGCAGUGGAUUCAAUAACUUCAACACCUCUAACAACUCAAUCGACUCGGAGAAAACCAGAAAAUAUAGUGAUUGAAUAGAAAUCAGAAAACCAACUCUAGACUUCCUUCUUCUUCCCUUUUUAUGACCUUUUUCCUUGCCUUUUUGGGAGUUCUGAACUUUUUCUAAAUAUGAAGACUAGAGGUUGAAAUCCAGAUUUUUGUUUGAAUUAAAAAAAAUUAGGAGAAGAUAGUGAAUUCUCUGAAAAUCUCCCUCGUUAGUGUGAAAAUCAGUCUCAAAAAUGAAGAAAAGAGUAUGAAUUUCAGAGGGUGUUUUCGUGUGUAUGAGUGAGUGACAUAUGGCCUCUUAUAUAGAGUGUGACAAUCUGUUAUGUGCACAGAAAAAUCAGAGAAUAAUUCUGGAAUGUCAGUCCCUAAAAUUUAGAAAAAGCAUCUUUUUCAACUAAAAAUGGAUAGCUGUCCUUGUUUCUAGAUAAUUCUUUUUAUUUCCUACCCUUUAGCUUCUAAAAAUCACAUUUUUAACCCUAAACUGACCUAAUUCUUUCAUUUUAUUGCACUUUAGCCCUUUUUCUAGAAGCUUCUUCUAAGCUAUCAACAAAUGAAAUUGUUCUCCUCUUAAUCAAACCUGUACUACCUUUCUUAUGGACAAUACCUAGACAUCUGGGCUGCCUGGCCAGCAGGCCCAACUCUUCAAGCUAAAAGCCAUAUCAAAUGGGCCUGCCUGUCAAUAUAGCAGGCCCAACAUCUGAACAAAAUACACAAUCAAAUCUACUAGUUGGCUGAAUUAAUCCUUAAUCUAAGAAACAACAAAUUAAGAGUUAUUACCAUCCUACUUGAACUUGAAAUUACUAAAUGCAGCAAAAAGAAAAAGAAAAGAAAAGAAAAAGCUGAACCGAGAGAUGGAAUAAUAAAAUACUGACUAAUAAGGAAAGAAGAUCGAUCUACCUACUGGCUCCAAGUGAAAAGAGUGAGAAGGAAGUCCCCAAAACUGUAUAGGCUCGAGCACGAAACGUCCCAUUACUGCCUUGAACUUCAGUGGCUUCGAAACAAACUAAAACUAACAUAAAUUGAUUGAUCUCGUCAAGAGCAAUUGAUUCACGUAAAUUUGAGCCGAAUCGAAUCAAAUCUCAAAGAUAAACAAGAAAAAAAGAAAAAAAACUAGGGUUUCUGGGAUUCUAUGAUCUAAAAUUUAUGAGAUUUGAGUGGCUUUUUGGGGAAAUUGAUGAGGGGUUAGGGAUGAAGAGGGUGUGAGGAUUAUGAGGUGUUAAUUUGGGGUGGUUUGGAGUGGCGCCGUCGCCAUGGACGGUUUUCGGCGACGCAGAUGGCUGGGGUGAGAGAGUGGUGAGGGAGGUGAGUUUUUGGGAGGUCUCUAGGGUUUGGGAGGGGGGGGGGGGGGUCCAAUUCGGAUAGUUAUAAGGGGGGCAGGUGAUGAGUUGUGGACCGUAAAAUCGAUAAGAGAUCAACGGAUGAGAUUUGUUUGGGGGUAAAACACGGGCGUUUUAAUUAAAGAGGGAGAUGGACCGGUUUGGUUGGUGAAGAUUUGGCUGGGAGGUGAGUUUGACCAGAUUUUAUAAUUGGGCUGAUGGCGUUUUGCCCAAUUUGCACACAAGGCAAAUGGCCUCUUUCAUUUUCUUUAUUUUUCUUUCUUUUUCUUUGAUGUUAAAACUCUAAUUUUAUUAAUUUAAACAAGCUAAGUAAAAUCUUAAAUUAGACUUUAACUUAAAUUACUUUGUAAAAUUAAUCUUAUUUAUUUUCACUAAUUUAACACUAAUCAAUUUAAAACUAAAAGCUAAAAUGUAGACAUGACUAUUGUAUUUUUUUUUUUGUAAUUUUUGUUUAAUAAUACAAUUAAUUCAUGUAAUUACAUCCAAAAUGCAAUUAACAUCUAACAUGCUAUGUAAUGAAACAUUGAACAUUUUUGGUGUUUUUCUAUGAUUUUAAGAUAUUAAAUAUGCACGAAAAAUGAAACUAAUUGUAAACAAUUUAACAAAAAUUCCUAAAUUUUUUGUCAUGAUCCUAAACCCGGACCAGGUCGUGAUGACGCCUCUCGUGAAGACAAGGCCAGCCGACACAUUCCCAUUUCACUUUUAAGCAAUUAAGAUAAUAAAUAUUAAGUCUUAAACAUGAUAAAAUCUCAAAAUAAGCAGUAAACAGUACAGUUUGUGGAACUAAAAUCCAACACAGCUCGAUACCGGGGUAUCAUCAGUCAUGAGCAUCUAUCAAUUUAAUACAAGUCUAAAGAGUCUACAAAGAUACUACAGAGUUACUAAUAAGGGAAAGGAAAUGAAAUAAAGGGGGAGAAGCACGGGGCUGCGGACGCCAAACAACUACCUCGUGAACUCCGAAAUAUGCCAGGAGUUCUCAACUCUCGCAAGCAGGAUUAGCAACGCCUGAAUCUGCACACGAGAUGCAGGGAGUAAAGUGAGUACUCCAACUCAGUGAGUAAUAAUCAUAAAUAAAGGAUGAGAAGUAAGAAAUCACGUAAGGCACAACACAGACUAUAAGAAAGCAGUAAAAGCCAGUAAAAACAAUGAAGCAGUAAAGAUGUGUAAAGCCACUGAGUUCAGUUUAAACUUCAUAAAAUGCCUUUUGAAACAAUUAAGCAAGUAAAUGAUAGUCAAAUAGGAAAGAUAAACAAAUAAAGGAUCGCCCCUCGGGCACAAUGUCAACAAAACUGUCCCUCUGGCAAUAUCUCAGAAACAAUACCAGCCCCUCAGGCUAUAUCUCACAUCACAAUAGGUACCCACGCUCACUGGGGGUAUGCAAACUCUUGGAAGGGCCCCUUACGUCCCAAGUGCAAUAUCAAGCCAUCUCUGGCAUCAUCACUAGGCUCUCGACCUCAUAUCAACAAGCCACCUCGUGGCGUACAAAUCUCAAGCCCUUGGCCUCAUAAUCAUAAUCAGUAUUUCCUCACAAUAUAGGCCAUCGGCCUUACUAAGUUAGAAUCUCACAACCACUCGGGCAACGGUAAAAUAUGGUGCUCAGCCCAAAAUAUCAUUUAAAACAUCAUUUAAGUGUUAAAGUAGAGUAAACAUGGCUGAGUUAUGAAAAUAUUGGAAUAUAGCAUGACUGAGUUCAAGUAUAAAGUUAAAACAAUGAGGAAAUAUCAAUGAAAAUCCCAUAAGGGUUCAAAUAGUUGGCACGAGGCCUAAAUCUGGCAUUUAGCCCAAAACAUGAUGAUAACAAACAGUUUUCAGUCAAAUAUGCGGUAAAAUAGUCAUUCAGGACGGACUAAGUGACAAUCCCCAACAGUGCACGACCCCAUGCUCGUCAUCUAGCGUGUGUGUCACCUCAAUACAGCAUAACAAUGUGCAAUCCGGUGUUUCAUACCCUCGAGACAAUCUUUACAAUCAUUACUCACCUUAAUCCGGUCCAAACUCUAGCCUGCGACGCCUUUGCCCCUCGAAUUGGCCUCCACUCGCAUCAAAUCUAACCAAAUCAGAAUCACGACGUCAAAAUAUGCUAAGGGAAUGAAGCCCAAGCAAAAAUAAUCAAUUUACAACACAAAUCCCGAAAUUACCAAAACCCGACCCCCAGGCCCGCGUCUCGGAAUUUGAUAAAAUUCACAUCAAUGGAUUCCUUAUCACUCCCUGAGUUCAUUCAUACCGAAAGCAUCAAAAUCCAACCACAAACGACCCCUCAAAUCCCAAAUUCCAAGUCUCCAAUUUCAAGCCUUAGUUCUUCAAUUUUAAGCUUACAUUCCAUGAUUAAUUAGGUAGAAUUCAUAUUAGAAUCGAGUAUUAAGUCUAUGAAUCUUACCUCCAAGUGUUUCCCCUUGAAUCCCUCAUCAAUCCUCUUCAAAAAGCUCCAAAAUUUCUCAAAAUGGUGGAAAUAAACACCAAAAUCGCGGACAAGACGACUAUUUAAAUAUUCUGCCCAGGCAUCAAUUCCUUCUUCGCGAACGCGGUCAACGCCUCGCGUUCGCGAAGCACAAACCAACUUUGACCAAAAAAUCCUGUACGCGAAUGUGAUGGCUCCUCAGCUUGACCCUCCGCGAUCGCGCUACCUCUCUCGCGAACACAAUGAAUAAAACACCUUGAACCCAGCUUCCCAAUUUCCUCUACACGAACGCGGAGCCUCCCUCGCGAACGCGAUGCACAAUAAUCCAACCCUUGCGAACGCGGAGCCUUCCUCACGAACGUGAAGGCUAAAAUCUCAGACUCCUCAACUAACCCUUCGCGAUCGCGGCUCCCCUCUCGCGAAUGCGAAGGUCAUUUGUCUGCAACACUGAGCAGCAGGUUUCUGCACUUCUCAACAACAAGAAAUGGUCCGAUUGACCACCUGAAACUCACCCGAGGCCCUAGGGACCUUAACCAAAUAUGCCAACAUAUCCCAUAACAUCAUUCAAACUUGUUCCAACCUUCGAAACGCUCAAAACAACAUCAAAACACCAAAUUCGCAUCAGAUUCAAACCUAAGAAUUCCAAAAAUCUUCUAAAUUAUGCUUUUGAUAAAAAACCUAACCAAACCACGUCCGAAUGACAUGAAAUUUUUCACACACAUCCCAAAUGACACAACAGAACUACUACAACUCUCGGAAUUCCAUUACGACCCCUAUAUCAAAAUCUCACCUAUCAACCGGAAAUCGCCAAAAAUCCAAUUUCGCCAAUUCAAGCCUAAAUCUACUCCGAACCUCCAAAACUCAUUCCUAUCACGCUCCUAAGUCCCAAAUCACCUCCUGAAGCUAUUUGAACCAUCGGAACUCACAUAAAAUCCAUCUAACACAUAAGUCAAUAUCCGGUUGACUUUUCCAACUUAAGCUUCCUCAAAAGAGACUAAGUGUCUCAAACCUUAUCAAAUCCUUUCCGAACCCGAACCAACCAAUCCGAUCACAUAUAGAACCGAUAAACAAGGCAAUAAGAAGCAGAAAUGGGGGAAACGGAGCGGCAACUCAUGAGAUGACUGGCUGGGUCAUCACAUCCUCCCCCUCUUAAACAAACGUUCGUCCUCGAACGAGUCAAGAAACAUACCUGAAGCCUCAAACAGGUGAGGAUAUCUACUCUGCAUCUCCCGUUUGGUCUAACAGUUAGCCUCAUCCAUGGGCCGACCUCUCCACUACACUUUCACUGAAGCUAUAUCCUUUGAUCUCAACUUCCGAACCUGAUGACCCAAAAUGGCUACUGGCUCCACAUCAUAGGUCAAAUCAUCAUCUAACUGAACCGUGAUGAAAUCUAGAACAUGAGACAGAUCCCCAAUAUACUUCCGGAGCAUAGAAACAUGAAAUACCGGAUGCACACUUCACAAGCUGGGUGGCAAAGCAAGCUCAUAGGCCACCUCCCCAAUCCUCCAAAGCACCUUAAAAUGCCCAAUGAACCGAGGACUCAAUACCCUUCUUCCCAAAUCUCAUAACACCCUUCAUGGGUGAAACCUUCAACAGAAUUUUCUCACCAGCCAUGUAGGACACAUCUCAAACCUUCCUAUCAGCAUAACUCUUUUGCCUCGACUGUGCUGUACAAAGCCUCUCCUGAAUCACCUUUACUUUUUCUAAAGUAUUUUCACCAAAUCUGUCCCCAGUAGCCUAGCCCCACCUAGCUCAAACCAACCAACUGGAGAUCUACACAGCCUCCCAUACAAAGCCUCAUAUGGAGCCAUCUAAAUACUCGACUGGUAGCUGUUGUUAUAAGCAAACUCUGCAAGUGGUAGAAACUGAUCCCAUGACCCUCCGAAAUCAAUGACACAAGCACAUAACAUGUCCUCCAAUAUCUGAAUAAUGCGCUCGGACUGCCCGUCCGUCUGAGGGUGAAAAGCUGUGCUCAACUCAACCUGAGUACCCAACUCUCGCUGCACAGACCUCCAAAACUGCAAAGUACACUCAAUGCCCCUAUCUAAGAUGAUGGAAGCUGAGACACCAUGCAAAUGAACAAUCUCCCAGAUAUAGAUCUCUGCCAACCGCUCUAAAGAAUAAGUAGUACACACAGGAAUGAAGUGCGCGGACUUGGUCAGCCAAUCCACAAUCACCCAAACAACAUCGAACUUUUUCAAAGUCCGUGGAAGUCCAACUACAAAGUCCAUAGUGAUCUGCUCCCACUUCCACUUUGGAAUAUCCAUACGCUAAAGCAAGCCACCCGGUCUCUGAUGCUCAUAUUUCACUACUGACAAUUGAGACACCGAGCUACAAAUCCCAUAAUGUCUUUCUUCAUUUUCCUCCACCAAUAAUGCUGCCUCAAAUCCUGAUACAUCUUUGCGGCACCUGGAUGAAUGGAAUACCACGAGCUAUGGGCCUCCUCCAGAAUCAACUCCCGAAGCCCAUCUAAUUUGGGCACACAGAUCCGGCCCUGCAUCCUCAACACCCCAUCAUCACCAAUGGUCACAUCUCUGGCAUCAUCAUGCUGAACUCUAUCCUUAAGGACAAGCAAAUGCGGAUCAUUAUACUGGCAUUCUCUGAUGCGAUCAUAUAAGGAAGACCGAGAAACCACACAAGCCUAUACCCGGCUGAGCUCCAAAAUAUCUAACCUCACGAACCGAUUGGUCAGGGCCUGGACAUCAACUACAAGAGGUCUCUCCCCAACUGGAAUAUAUGCCAAACUCCCCAUACUCACCGCCUUUCGGCUCAAAGCAUCGGCCACCAUAUUGUCCUUUCCCAGAUAAUACAAUAUAGUGAUAUCAUAAUACUUUAGCAGCUCCAACCACCUCCGCUACCUCAAAUUAAGAUCCUUUUGCUUGAACAAGUGCUGGAGGCUACGAUGAUCAGUAAACACCUCACGAGACACACCAUACAAGUAGUGCCUCCAAAUCUUCACCGCGUGAACUAUGACAACCAACUCUAAAUCAUGAACGGGGUAGUUCUUCUUAUGGGGCUUCAACUGAUGAGAAGCAUAACUAAUAACUCUACCCUCCUGCAUCAGUACACAACUAAUACCAACUCUCGAAGCAUCACAAUACACAGUAUAUGAACCUGAAGGUGAUAGCAAAACUAACACUGGAGCUGUGGUCAAGACUGUCUUAAGCUUCUAAAAGCUCUCCUCACACUUAUCCGACCACACAAAUGAAGCACCCUUCUGAGUCAACUUGGUCAAGGUCAAUGCGAUAGACGAUAAUAGCCUGUCAAAUCAAGAAAUCUGCAAAUCUCUGUGGCUGAGGACGGUCUAGGCCAAUUCUGAACCGCCUCUAUCUUCUUCGGAUCAACUUGAAUACCCUCGCUGGAUACCACGUGCCCUAAGAAAGCCACUGAACUGAGCCAAAACUCACACUUGGAGAAUUUUGCAUAAAGCUUCUCCUCCCUCAAUCUCUGCAACACAACUCUUAAAUGUUCUGCAUGCUCCUCCUAACUACGCGAAUACACCAGAAUAUCAUCAAUGAAGACUAUGAAAAACGAGUCGAGAUAAGACCGGAACACGCUGUUCAUCAGAUGCAUGAACACUGCUGGGGCAUUAGUCAGCCCAAAAGACAUCACCAAAAACUCAUAAUGACCAUAUCGGGUCGUAAAAGCCGUCUUAAGAAUAUCCGAGUCGCUGAUCUUCAACUGGUGGUAACCUAAACGGAGAUCAAUCUUGGAGAACACUCUCGCUCCCUGAAGCUUGUUGAAUAAAUCAUCAAUGCGAGGCAAAUAAUACUUGUUAUUAACUGUUACUUUGUUCAAUCGCCUAUAAUCAAUGCACAUACUCAUAGUGCCAUCCUUCUUCUUCACAAAUAAAACCGGCACACUCCAAGGUGACACACUAGGCCGAAUGAACCCCUUAUCAAGGAGUUCAUGAAACUGAUCCUUUAACUCCUUCAACUCCGCUGGUGCCAUACGAUACGGCGGAAUAGAAAUAUGCUGAGUGCCCAGCACCAAGUCAAUACCAAAAUCAAUAUCCCUGUCCGGUGGCAUGCCCGACAGGUCUGCAAGGAACACAUCGGGAAAAUCCUUCACAAUUGGAAGAGAAUCAAUACUGGGAGUCUCUACACUGACAUCCUUCACAAAGGCUAGAUACGAAAGACAACCCUUCCUAACCAUACAUUGGACCUUCAAGAAUGAGAUCACUCUACUAGGAACAUAAUUAGUCACAUGUCACCACUUAAUUCGUGGCACACCUAGUAUAGCCAAUAUAACUGUCUUAGCAUGGCAGUCCCGAAUAGCACGACACAGAGAUAGCCAAUCCGUGCCCAAAAUGACAUCAAAAUCCACCAUACACAAUAAUAAAAGAUCUACUCAGGUCUCCAAACACUCAAUAGUCACCACACACGAUCGGUACACGCGGUCUAUAACAACAGUAUCGCCCACCGGGGUAGAUACAUAAACAGGUAAAGCAAAAGACUCAUAGGGCAUACCUAAAUAACGAGCAAAGUAUGAUGACACAUAAGAAAAGGUGGAACCAGGAUAAAAUAAUACAAAAGCAUCUCUGUGGCAGACUAAAACAAUACCUGUAAUAACAACAUCGAAAGCAAUAACAUCAGGUCUAGCGGAAGUGCAUAGAAAUGGGCCUGACCGCCACCUGAUCGACCUCCCCCUCUAGGGCGACCCCUAGUUGACUGACCUCCACCCCUAGCUGGCUGGGCGGGUAGUGGUGAAGUAACAGGCGCUGAAGCCGAUGGCUGACCCCUCUGCUGAGAUAAACCCGCAAGACGACGAGGACACUGCCUCCACAUAUGACCCAUCUCUCCACACUCAUAACAACUCCUAGGUGUUGGAGAAGGGGACUAAAGGGAACCNNNNNNNNNNNNNNNNNNNNNNNNNNNNNNNNNNNNCCACGAUAACCUAGGCAAGCUGGCUGAGCAAGCCUGAAUGGAUGACCUCUGUUGUACUGAAACUGACCUCUCGAAGGAGCACCACUAUAAUUACCAGAUCCUCGAGGCCUCUUGGCCUCCCUCUCCUAGUGACGUAUAGACUCAAUCUCACGAGCAAUGUCUACAACCUCCUCAAAGGUAGCACCAGUCACCCUCUCACUGGUCAUGAGAAUAUAAAGCUGAUAAGUGAGGCCAUCAACAAACCUCCUAAUCCUCUCUCUAUCUAUUGGAACUACCCAAAUCGCAUGACGAGCUAACUUGGAGAACCUCAUCUCAUACUGCGUCGCAGUCAUCUCUCUCUAACGCAACCACUCAAACUGCCUGAGCAGCUCCUCUCUGCGAGUUUACGGUAUAUACUUCUCCAGAAAGAGAACGGAGAACUGCUGCCAGGUAACGGGUGCUGCACCAAUAGGCUUACGCCUCUUAAAAGCCUUCCACCAAGUGAAGGCAACUCUAGAAAACUGCUAAGUAGUGAAAGCGGCCCCGCUGGUCUCCAGAAUACUCGUUGUACGAAUCAUCCUUUGACAUUUUCCAAGAAACCCUGGGCAUCCUCACCCUAUGCACUGCUGAAGGUCGGAGGCUGAAGUCUACCAAAACCUCUCCAACCUACGCUGCUUGUCCUCUGGCAUGGCAGGAACUACAUAGUCCUAAGCAGCUGCAACCGGCUGGGCUGGAUGCGCCCCCGGGGUAUGAAGUCCCUGCACGACCUGCUCAGGUGUGCGAGCGGCGGGCAUCUGAAUGCCUCCCCCGGCCUGAGAAGUAGCUGCGGAUGUAGUAGUGGAGACCGCCUGAGCUAGGCCAGUGCAAACUGAUAGAAUCUGAGCCAAGGCCUCCUGAAGACCCUGAAUCACAAUAGGAACAACUAGUGACUGAGAUGGUGCUGCUGGAGCGACCACAACUGGGACCUGAUCCUGAACUGGGGCGGCUGGUGGAUGUGCAGGUGCUGCUCUAGCUACUGUACGGGCUACACCUCUGCCCCUACCGCGACCACGACCGCGUCCUCAGCCUAUAGUGGCCACAGCUGGUGGUACGGGUGGUCGUCCAUCCGGACUAGUAGCGAGUGUCCUCACCAUCUGUGAGAAAAUAGAAUAACAGAGUUUCGUACUCUGAUCAACAAAUUCGCACGACAAAAAUUUCAAGAAUAUGAAGUUAUUCCUAAAGGUUUUGCAGCCUCUCGAGGAUAAAUACAAACGUUUCCUUACCAAUCUACGAGACUCUACUAAACCUACUCAUAACUCGUGAGACCUAUGUAACCUAGGCUCUGAUACCAACUUGUCACGACCCUAAACCUGGACCUGGUCGUGAUGGCGCCUCUCGUGAAGACAAGGCCAGCCGACACAUUCCCAUUUCACUUUUAAGAAAUUAAGAUAAUAAAUAUUAAGUUUUAAACAUGAUAAAAACUCAAAAUUAGCAAUAAACAGUACAGUUAGUGGAACUAAAACCCAACACAGCCCAAUAUCGAGUAUCACCAGUGAUGAGCAUCUAUCAAUUUAAUACAAGUCUGAAGAGUCUACAAAGCUACUACAGAGUCACUAAUAAAGGAAAGGAAAUGAGAUAAAGGGGGAGAAGCACGGGGCUGGGGACGCCGAACAGCUACCUCGUGAACUCCGAAAUCUGUCAGGAGCUCUCAACCCUCGCAAGCAGGAUCAGCAUCGCCUGAAUCUGCACACAGGGUGUAGGGAGUAAAGUGAGUACUCCAAAUCAGUGAGUAAUAAUCAUAAAUAAAGGUUGAGAAGUAAGAAAUUACGUAGGGCACAACAUAGGCUAUAAGGAAGCAGUAAAAGCCAGUAAAAACAAUGAAGCAGUAAAGAUGUGUAAAGCCACUGAGUUCAGUUUAAACUUCAUAAAAUGCCUUUUUAAAUAAUUAAGCAAGUAAAUGAUAGGCAAAUAAAAACAUAAAGGAUCGCCCUUUGGGCAUAAUGCCAACAAACCGCCCCUCGGGAAAUAUCUCAGAAACAAUACCAGCCCUCGGGUUAUAUCUCACAUCACAAUGGGUACCCAUGCUCACUGGGGGUGUGCAGACUCCUGGAGGGGCCCCUUACUGCCCAAGCGCAAUAUCAAGCCAUCUCGUGGCAUCAUCACUAGGCUCUCGGUCUCAUAUCAACAACCUACCUCGUGGCGUACAAAUCUCACCCCCGACCUCAUAAUCACAAUUAGUGUUUCCUCACAACAUAGGGCCUUAGCCUUACUCAGUUAGAAUCUCACAGCCACUCGGGCAACAGUAAACGUGGUGCUCAGCCCAAAAUAUCAUUUAAGGGUUAAAGCAGAGUAAACAUGACUGAGUUAUGAAAACAGUGGAAUAUAGCAUGAUUGAGUUGAAGUAUAAAGUCAAAACAGUGAGGAAAUAUCAAUAAAAAUCCCCUAAGGGUUCAAAUAGUUGGCACGAGGCCCAAAUAUGGCAUUCAACCCAAAAAAUGAUGAUAACAAACAAUUUUCAGUCAAAUACGCGGUAAAAUAGUCAUUCGGGAUGGAUUAAGUCAUAAUCCCCAAUAGUGCAUGACCCCACACUCGUCAUCUAGUGUGUGCGUCACCUUAAUAUAGCACAACGAUAUGCAAUCCGAGGUUUCAUACCCUCAGGACAAUCUUUACAUUCAUUACUCACCUCAAUCCGGUCCAAACUCUAGCCCGAGAUGCCUUUGCCCCAUCGGCCUCCACUAGCAUCGAAUCUAACCAAAAUCAGAAUCACAACGAUAAAAUAUGCUAAGGGAAUAAAGCUCAAAUGAAUAUAAUCAAUUUACAACAUAAAUCCAGAAAUUACCAAAACCCGACCCCAGGCCCACGUCUCAGAAUUCCAUAAAAUUCACAUCAAUGGAUUCCUUAUCACUCCCCGAGUUUACUCAUACCAAAAGCAUCAAAAUCCAACCACAAACGACCCAUCAAAUCCCAAAUUCUAGGUCUCUAAUUUCAAGCCCUAUUUCUUCAAUUUUAGGCUUACAUUCCAUGAUUAAUUAGGUAGAAUUCACAUUAGAAUCGAGUAUUAAGUUCAUGAAUCUUACCUCCAAGUGUUUCCCCUUGAAUCCUUCUUCAACCCUCUUCAAAAAGCUCCACAAUCGCUCAAAAAUGGUGGAAAUAAAACCCAAAAUCGCGGACAAGACGACUAUUUAAACAUUCUGCCCAUGCAUCAAUUCCUUCUUCGCGAACGCAGUCAACGCCUCGCGUUCGCGAAGAAAAAACCAACUUUGACCAAAAAAUCCUCUACGUGAACGCGACAAGCCACUCGUGAAUGCGAUGGCUCCUCAGCUUGAACCUUCGCGAUCACACUACCUCUCUCGCGAACGCGAUGAACAAACACCUUGAACCCAGCUGCCCAAUUUCCUCUACGCGAACGAUGAACCUCCCUCGCGAACGCGAUGCAUAAUAAUCCAACCCUUCGGGAUCACGGAGCCUUCAUCGCGAACGCGAAGGCUAAAAUCUCAGCCCUCUCAACUAACCCUUCACGAUUGCGGCUCCCCUCUCGGGAACGCGAAUGUCAUUUGUCUGCAACACUGAGCAACAAUUUUCUGCACUUCUCAGCAACAAGAAAUGGUUCGAUUGACCACCCGAAACUCACCGAGGCCCCCGAGAGCUCAACGAAACAUGCCAACAUAUCCCAUAACAUCAUUAAAACUUGUUCCAACAUUUGAAAUGCUCAAAACAACAUCAAAACACCAAAUUCACAUCGGAUUCAAGCCUAAUAAUUCCAAAAUAUUCUAAAUUAUGCUUUUGAUAAAAAACCCAACCAAACCGCGUCUGAAUGACCUGAAAUUUUGCACACACAUCCCAAAUGACACAAAGGAAGUACUUCAACUCUAGGAAUUCCAUUCCUACACCUAUAUCAAAAUCUCACCUAUCAACCAGAAAUUACCAAAAAUCCAAUUUUACCAAUUCAAGCCUAAAUCUACUCCGGACCUCAAAAACUCAUUCCGAUCAUGCUCCUAGGUCCCAAAUAACCUCCCGAAGCUAUCCGAACCAUCGGAACUCAUAUCCGAGCCCUCUAACACAUAAGUCAACACCCGGUUGACUUUUCCAACUUAAGCUUUCUCAAAAGAGACUAAGUGUCUCAAACCUUACCAAAUCCUUUCCGAACCAACCAACCGGUCACAUAUAGAGUCGAUAGACAAGGCAAUAAGAAGCAGAAAUGGGAAAAACAGAGCGGCAACUCAUGAGAUGAUUGGCUGGGUCGUCACAAUUUUAUAAAAUUAAAAACAAUUAGGAAAAAAUCUAUUUGUUGAUUUUUGUGGGAGUAUUUUCAUCGGGCAAAAUUUACGUGCUAACAGCUGCCUAUCUUUGCUCGAAAAUAUGAAGAGUUUUUGGGCAAAGAUAAAGUGAGCAAUUAUGAGUAAUUUUUGCCCGUUGGACACUCCAUGAGAAGUAUUUUGAAAAAGUUUGACCGAACUUUGCUUCGGAGGUUGCCUACAUAUCCUUGGCUAUAAAGGUACCAGGUUAGUGUAUUUCUAGAAGUUUUGUUAGCUGGGACUACCGAAAAAUCUGUGAUUUCACUGCUGUUGCUGCUGUUACUACUUGCUAUUUGCCGAUCUCCUUAUUACACCAAUAUCAAAAAUGAAAAGAAACUAAACAAGCAUAUCAGCUAUGAGUUACAAGAUUACUAUCUAUAAUUCUUCUGAAGUUUGAUCUUGAAUCUUGGCUGGUUCUUUACAUAGACUCUGAUCUGAAUCUUGAUGUUUGUUAGCUGCAGGUGCUAGCUCAUUCUUCUAAAGCUUUUUCUGAUCACAACGGGAAGUGCAAUGCUCGUGACUUCAGUCAUGUCUUGAGCAGUCCAUAUCCAUUUUUCUGCCUCUGGAUUUUGGAUUCUCUCCUUUUCCUUUCUUUUAUUUAUUUUGGAUUGAUAUGUCUUCUUUUUGUCAUCUCGAACCCAUUUCCUCAAGGUAAAAACCUGCUCAGACACCAAAACAAACAAAAUUUUUUCUAUCUCGAUUUUCACUAGGAAAAACUUUGUGAGUUAUUUGUAACAAAAACUCUAUACUAUUUUAUUAUUGAAAGCAAAUAAAAGGUUGGGAUUGGUGUACCCUAAGAAAAAAGAAACUAGGGAGUGGAGACCCUAUGUCUAAAAUAAAAGCAACUAGGGAGUGAAGACCCUAUGUUAGAAAAACGACUAGGGAGUGGAGACCCAAUAUCUAAAAAUAAAAAUCAACUAGGGAGUGUAGACCCUAUGUUGGAAAAGUGAAUAGGGAGUGGAGAUCCUGUGUCUAAAACAAAAUCAACUAGGGAGUGAAGACCCUAUAUUGGAAAAGUAGGCUAGGGAGUGGAGACAGUAUGUCCUAAAAAGAUCAACUAGGUAGUGGAGACCCUAUGUUGGAAAAGUGACUAGGGAGCGGAGGCCAUAUGUUGGAAAAACGACUAGGGAGCAGAGACUCUAUGUCUAAAAUAAAAUCAACUAGGGAGUGGAGACCCUAUGUUUGAAAAGCAGACUAGGGAGUGGAGACCUUAUGUCUAAAAAUAACUUCAACUAGAGAGUGGAGACCCUAUGUUGGAAAAGCGACUAGAGAGUGGAGAACCUAUGUCUAAAAAUAACUUCAACUAGGGAGUGUAGACCCUAUGUUAAAAAAGCGACUAGAGAGUGGAGACCUUAUGUCAAAAUAAAAUCAACUAGGGAUUUGAGACCCUAUGUUGGAAAAGAUACUAGAGAGUGGAGACUCUAUGUCUAAGAUAAACAUCAAGUAGGGAGUGUAGACCCUAUGUUGGAAAGACGACUAGGGAGUGGAGACCCUAUUUCGGAAGAGCGACUAGGGAGUGGAUACCCUAUGUCUAAAAUAAAAUUAACUAGGGAGUGGAGACCCUAUGUUGGAAAAGUAGACUGGAGAGUGGAGACCCUAUGUCUAAAAAUAACUUUAACUAGGGAGUGGAGACCCUAUGUUGGAAAAUGCAGCUAGGGAUUGGAUACCUUAUACUACCAUAAUUUGGAAUUCUCUUUCUUUUCCCUUUUUAAUAAGAAUGAGUAAAAUGCAGGAAAAAAUUGGAAGAAGACUUCCCUUUUUGGAGGGGUUGUUGUGGCCGAGCUAUUUUAGUCUCCGCGCGGUUUCCUUUAGUUGCACCUGCUUCUUGCAAGGUUGCUUUGGAUUGCACCUGCUUCUUGCAAGGUUGAUUUGGAUUGCACCCGUUUGCUUUUUUUUAAAACUGUAAUGACUCGGUCGUUCGUUUCAAGAGUUGUAGCCCCGUUCCCCUAUUUUCUGCUUUUUUGUGUUCUAUAGCUGUAUUGUGACUUACCGGGUUAGCUGGUUCGGGCCCUGAGUGAUUUCAAAAUAAAUUGAGAUACUUAGUCUCUUAUUUGAAAGCUUAAGUUGAAAAAGUUGACCGGAUGUUAACUUAUAUGUAAACGACAUCGGAUUUAAAUUUCGAUAAUUCCAUUAGCUCCGCUAGGUGAUUUUGGACUUGGGAGCGCAUCUAGAUUACUUUUUUGGAGGUCUGUAGAAGAAUUAGGCUUGAAAUGUCGAAAGUUGGAAAUUUUAAAAGUUUGACCGGAGUGGACUUUUUGAUAUCAAGGUCGGAUUGGAUAUCCGAAAGUUGUACUAGGUUCGUGGUAUCAUUUACGACUUGUGUGCAAAAUUUGAGGUCAAUCGGACUAUAGGUUUUGACAUUGUUUGUAGAAUUCAAAAAUUUCAAAGUUCAUUAGGCUUGAAUUCAUGUGUAAUUCGUGUUUUUGAUGUUGUUGGUGAUUUGAAGAUUCAACUAAGUUCUUAUGAUGUAAUGGGUCGUGUUGGCUUGUUUGUUUGAGGCCCCGAGGGCCUCGGGUGAAUUUUGUGUGGUUAAUGGAUCAUUUUGGCCUUGGUGAGAUUGCUGAUAUCUGCUGCUGCAUUUUUCUGGUUUCCUCUUACGCGUUCGCGAGAGGGGCCUCGCGUUCGCGAAGAGUGUUUCUGAGAUGAUGAGGAUUUUGUUCUUCGUGUUCGUGAAGGAGAGGAUGCGAACGCAAAUGUGUGGUCUGCGUAUGCAUCACAAACAUGGGAUCAGGGUCGCGUUCGUGAAGAGGUGAGGCAGUUGGGGACCCCAGGUCCUUGUUCUACGCGUUCACGAGGUAAUGGUCGCGUUUGCGAAGGUUUGAGCUAGUAAAGCAUCAGGUUUGCAAGGCAUGUGUCGCGUUCGCGAAGAGUAAAGCAGAGAAGGGGUCAAGUUGGUCUACGCGAACACGAGAUGACGGUCGCGUUCGCGCAUAAGGAAAUCUGGGCAGACAAUGUUAAAUUAAAAAUCGAUGUUUUGAGUCUAUUUUUCAUAUUUUGAGCUAAAGAUCACAAAUUUGGGCGAUUCCUGAAGGGAUUUUUGAGGAGUUGAUUGGGGUAAGUGUUUCUUGCUUGGUUUUGGUUAAAUACCAUGAUUAUAUCUUUGAUUUUAUCAUCUAAUUUGUGAUUUGGGAUGUAAAAUUGGGGAAGAAGAUGAAGUGUUCUUGAGUUAGAAUUUUGGGGUUUUGAAAGGGAUUUUGUUAUCGACUUUGAGUAAAUUUGGUAUGGUUAGACUCGUGAGUGAAUGGGCUUUCGAGUUUUAUAACUUUUGUCGAAUUUCGAGACGUGGGCCUGGGGGCUAGGUUUGAGCCGAUUUCGGAUUUUUGGCUAUAAUUUGGUACUUUUCUUGUGGUAUUGAUUCCUUUAGCCUAUAUUGAUUGUAUUGUGUUGCUUGUGGAUAGAUUCAGGGUGUUUGGAGGCCGAUUUGAGAGGCAAAGACAUUGCGGAGUAGGUUUUUGCUCGGUUUGAGGUAAGUAACACUUUCAAACUUAGUUCUGAGGGUUCAAAACAUUGAAUUAUGUAUUAUGUGAUUGGUAUUGAGGUGACGCACAUGCAAAGUGACGGGCGUGCAGACGUGCACCGUGAGAAUUGUGGCCUGGGUGAUUCCAUGGCACCAUAUAAUGACUCUAUCCUGUUGAUAUCCAUAGUUUAAUCAUGUGAUAAAGUAAUUGAGCUGUCAAUCAUACUAGAUAUCAUGUUUAGGCUUUAUGCCAGUACUGUUGAGGCCCUAGUGGUCGUUUCUUGAUGUCAUCUUACUAAUUUCAUUAACAUUCUAUAGUCUGUCGUAUUCAUGCAUUUUAUAUCAUAUCUUAGUCUCAGUUAUUCAUUGUUACUCCAUAUCAUUGUUACGGGUUAGUUUCAUGACAUUGUGAGCCCUUGAGUGUGACUGGAGAGAUUUAUGACUGAGUGAGGCUGAGAGCCUGAUUAUGAGUGACAAUUAAGGAUUGGGCUACACGCUGCAACGGUAAAUUGAUUUAUGAUAGCGCUUGGGAUGUAGGAGCCCCUCUGGAGUCUGUAACACACCCAUAGUAAGCGCAAUGGAUACAAUUGAGGGAUGGAUUUCCUUGGAUAUGGAUUUGUCCGAAGUACUUAAUACCAGGAGAUGGAUUUCUCCACAGGGUUGGAUUGCCCUUUUUCCUCGGAACUGGGUGACUUAUAGUCAGUGUUGUAUAUGUUCCAGGAUGGAUUUCCUUGGGAUGGAUGGACAUAUAUAUUACCGAGUGGUUGAACACUUGAGAGUGGGAGCACAUGGUGCAUUUCAUAUGCCACGUGCAUUGGCAUGUAGAGAUAGUUGAGUUAUAUAAUUUACAUUGUUCAAAUAUGUAUUUACCUUAUUGCCUCGAUCUGUCUAUUUAACUUGAAAGCAUGCCUACGUUUCUAUACAUUCAAUUCUAUUAUAUCUGUUGCGCUUGAGUUCAUUACUACCUUUCAGUCCAAUGUUUAGACUCGUUACUUACUGAGUUAGCGUACUCACGUUACUUCCUGCACCUCGUCUACUGAUCCAGGUGAUACCGGUCGCAGCGACGGUUGCUAAUUGAGUUUUUUUAGAGUUUGGAGACUAUUGAGGUAGAUGCACAGUGUUCGCAGGCCUUGACUCUCCUUCUUUAUCAUUGUUGAAUUUCAUUUUAUUUCUCUAGACACUUUAUUGGACUGUAUUCUGGUUUAGACACUCAUGUACUCAGUGACACCCCGAUUUUGGGCUGAAUUGUAUCAUAAUUUGGGAUUUCUUAUGUUUUCAAAUAGUUUUCUUUAAAUGUUAAAUGCUUCUGUUUAUAUUUUCAAACUUAUUGUUGUGUGAUGGGUUGUUAAGUUGAGGCUGACCUAGUUCCACGAUUAGGCGCCAUCAUGACGGUAGAUUUUGGGUUGUGACAAGUUGGUAUCAGAGCCUAGGUUACAUAGGUCUCACGAGUCAUGAGCGGGUUUAGUAGAGUCUUGCGGAUCAGUACAGAGACGUCUGUACUUAUCUUCGAAAGGCUGUAUAACCCUUAGGAAAACUUCACAUUCUUGAAUUCUUGUCGUGUGAAUCUAUUUAUUCUAGUAACUAAACUUCUAUUAUUUUGUUCUCUCACAUAUGGCGAGGACAUGUGCUACCAGGAAGGACGGGCAACCACUAGUUGGGGCCGCGAUAGGCCGAGGUUGCAGUAGAGGCCGUGGUAGGGGCAGAGGUGCAUCCCGCACAAUAGCUAGGGCGGCAUCUGUAGAUCUACCAGUUUCCCUAGUUCAGGGUCAGGUCCUAGUUGUGGAUGUGCCGGUGGGACUAGCUCAGGCACCAAUCAUGCCUAUUGUGAUUCCAGGCCUUCAAGAGGCCUUAGCUCUGAUUUUGAUAGUAUGCACUAGUCUUGCUCAGGCGGUCUCUGUUUCGGCCGCAACAGCCACUUCUCAGGCCAGGAGAGGUGCUCAGACUCCCACCGCCCGUACACCUGAGCAGGUGGUACAGGGACUCCAGACACCGGGGGCACCACCAGCCCAGCCGGUUGCACCUGCUCAGGAAUAUAUAGUUCCUGUCAUGCCUGAUAAUGAGCAACAUAGAUUGGAGAGGUUUGGUAGACUUCAGCGUCUGACUUUCAGUGAUGUAGAGGGCGAGGAUGCCAAGGGUUUCUUGGAUACAUGUCAGGGGAUUCUUCGUACAACAGGUAUUCUGGAGACCAGCGGGGUCUCGUUUACUGCUUUUCAGUUCUCUAGAGCUGCCUUCACUUGGUGGGAGGCUUAUGAUAGGCGUAGGCCAGUUGGUGCAGAGCCCCUUACAUGGCAGCAAUUCUCCGUUCUUUUCCUGGAGAAGUAUGUGCCGUAGUCCCACAGAGAGGAGCUGCACAAACAGUUUGAGCAGUUGCAUCAGGAUGAUAUGACUGUGAUGUAGUACGAGAUGAGAUUUUCUGAGUUAGCCCGUCAUGUUGUUUGGUUGGUUCCCAUGGAUAGGGAGAGGAUCAAGAGGUUUGUUGAUGGCCUCGCAUAUCAGAUACAGAUACUUAUGACUAGAGAGAGGGUGUCUGGUGCUACUUUUGAGGAGGUUGUUGACAUUUCUUGGGAGAUAAAGUCUGUUCUCCGCCAGGAGCAGGUUGAGGGGGAGUCCAAGAGACCUCAUUGAUCAGGUAGUUUUGGUGGUGUUCGUUUUGGAGGUCAGUUUCACCAUGCCAGGGGUCGUCCUUGCAGACACGCUCAGACGGCUCACCCAGUUCACCGUGGUGCAUCAUCUGGCCAUGGUUCUCAUAGUUCUCAUCAGGGCCACUCAUCUCUUAGUGCCCUUCUAGCUCAGAGUUCAACUCAUGCACCAUCAGCUUAGGGUUUAUCUAUGUCUGGUCCUUCUAGCGGGUAUCCCGAUGCUCGGGCUCCCUUCAGUCCCCACCGCCAAUGACCGGUAGAGGUUGCUUUGACUGUGGAGAUUUGGGUCAUAUCAAGAGGUACUAUCCCCACCUUACGGGAGGUUCAUCUCAGUAGAGGAGUCAGCCUUCGACUUCAGCACCGGUUACUUCACCACCCGCACAGCCAACUCGAGGUGGAGCCUAGUCAGCUAGGGGCUGCCCUAGAGGGGGACGGUGAUCAGGUCGCGGUCAGGCCCGUUUCUAUGCACUCUUUGCCAGACCAGAUGCUAUUGCUUCAGACGCAGUAAUCAUAGAUAUUGUCUUAGUAUGUCACCAAGAUGCUUCCUUAUUAUUUGACCCCGGUUCCACCUAUUCAUAUGUAUUAUCGUAUUUUGCUCAUUAUCUAGAUAUGCCCCGUGAGUCUUUAGUUUCAUAUGUUCAUGUAUCUAUUUUGGUGGGUGAUACUAUUAUUGUAGACCGCGUGUACUAGUCGUGUGUAGUGACUAUCGGGGGAUUGGAGACUAGAGUUGAUCUUCUACUACUUAGUAUGUUGAUUUUGGUAUGAUAUUGGGUAUGGAUUGGCUGUCUCGCUACCAUGCUAUUUUAGUUUGCCACGCUAAGACUGUAACGUUGGCGAUGCCGGGGUUGCCUCAGAUCGAGUGGAGAGGUUCUUUAGAUUAUGUUUCCCGUAGGGUGAUUUCGUACUUAAAGGCCCAACGAAUGGUUGGGAAGGGUUAUCUUUCUUAUUUGGCAUUUGUGAGAGAUGUUAGUGCAGAUACCCCUACUAUUGAUUCUAUUCCGGUGGUGCGAGAUUUUCCGGAUGUGUUUCCUGCAGACCUGCUGGGCAUGCCUCCAUAUUGACUUUGGUAUUGAUUUGGUGCCGGGCACUUAGCCCAUUUCUAUUCCACCGUACCGUAUGGCACUGGCUGAGUUGAAGGAGUUGAAAGUGCAGCUUCAAGAACUCCUUAAGAAGGGGUUUAUUAGGCUUAGUGUGUCACCUUGGGGUGCACCAGUUCUAUUUGUGAAGAAAAAAGAUGGCAUCAUGAGGAUGUGCAUUGAUUACAAGCAAUUAAACAAAGUCACAAUCAAGAACAAGUAUCAUUUGCCUCGCAUUGAUGAUCUAUUUGACCACCUUCAGGGAGCGAGGGUGUUCUCCAAGAUUGAUUUGAGGUUAGGGUAUCACCAGCUAAAGAUUCGGGAUUCGGAUAUUCUUAAGACAGCUUUCAGGACCCGUUAUGGUCAUUAUGAGCUCCUUGUGAUGUCUUUUAAGCUAACCAAUGCUCCAGUAGUGUUUAUGCAUCUGAUGAACAACGUAUUUCAGCCAUAUCUCGACUCAUUUAUAUUGUAUUCGUUGAUGAUAUCCUAGUGUACUCUCGUAGCCAGGAGGAGCAUGCCCAAUAUUUGCGAAUUAUGUUGUAGCGGUUGAGGGAGGAGAAACUUUAUGCUGAGUUCUUCAAGUGUAAGUUUUGCCUCAGUUCAGUGGAAUUUUUGGGCUGCUUGGUGUCCAGUGAGGGUAUUCAGGUUGACUCGAAGAAGAUAGAGUCGGUUUAGAGUUGGCCUAGACCGUCCUCAGCUACAAAGAUUUGGAGAUUUCUUGGUUUGGCUGGAUAUUACCGUCGGUUCGUGCAGGGUUUAUAUUCUAUUGCAUCACCUUUGACCAAAUUAACCCAAAAGGGUGAUCCUUUCAGGUGGUCGGACGAGUGUGAGGCAAGCUUUCAAAAGCUCAAGAUUGCCUUGACCACCACUCCAGUUCUAGUUCUACCAUCAGUUGCUGGUUCUUAUACAGUAUAUUGUGAUGCUUCUUGGAUCAAUAUUAGGUGUGUAUUGAUGCAGGGGUAGAGUGAUUUCUUAUGCUUUGCGCCAGUUGAAGCCCUAUGAGAAGAACUACUAUGUUCAUGAUUUGGAGUUGGCUGCCAUAUUUCAUGCGUUGAAGAUUUGGAGAUACUAUCUCUAUGGUGUGUCUUGUGAGGUGUUUACUGAUCAUCAUAUCCUCCAACACUUGUUCAAAUAGAAGGAUCUCAAUUUGAGGCAGCGGAAACGGUUGGAGCUGCUAAAGGACUAUGAUAUUACUAUUUUGUAUCACCCAUGAAAGGUCAAUGUGGUGGCCGAUGCCUUGAGUAGGAAGGUAGUAAGUAUAGGCAGUCUUGCAUUCAUUCUUGUUGGGGAGAGACAUCUUGUGGUUUAUGUUCAUAAUUUGUCCAACCAGCUACAGAGAUUGGAUAUUUCGGAGCCCAAUCGGGUUCUAGCUUGUGUGGUUUCUCGGUCUUCCUUGUUUGAUCGCAUUAGAGAGCGCCAGUAUGAUGAUCCUCAUUUUCUUGUCCUCAAGGACAAUGUGCAGCAUGAUGAUGCCCGAGAUGUGACUAUUGGAGAUGAUGGGGUGUUGAGGAUACAUGGUCGGAUAUGUGUGCCCAAUGUAGAUAGACUUCGGGAGUUGAUUCUGGAGGUAUUCCAUCCAUCCGGGUGCCGCAAAGAUGUACCAGGAUUUGAGACAACACUAUUGGUGAAGGAGAAUGAAGAAAGAUAUAAUUGGGUUUGUAGCUCGAAGUCUCAACUGUUAUCAGGUAAAAUAUGAGCAUCAAAGGCUAGGUGGCUUGCUUCAGCAGAUAGGGAUUCCAGAGUGGAAGUGGGAGCGGAUCACCAUGGAUUUCGUAGAUGGGCUCCUAUGGACUUUGCGAAAGUUCGAUGCUAUUUGGGUAAUUGUGGAUCGGCUGACCAAGUCCCCGCACUUCAUUCUUGUGAGUACUACAUAUUCUUCAGACUGGUUGGUUGAGAUUUACAUUAGAAAGAUUGUUCGCCUACACAGUAUGCCAGUUUCCAUCAUUUCAGAUAGAGGCACGUAGUUCACAUCGUAGUUUUAGAGAGUCGUGCAGCGAGAGUUGGGCACUCAGGUUGAGUUGAGCACAUCAUUUAAUCCUCAGAAGGAUGGAAAAUUCGAGCGCACUAUUCAAAUAUUAGAGGACAUGUUACGUGCGUGUCAUUGAUUUUGGUGGUUCAUGAGACCAGUUUAUGCCCCUCUCAGAGUUUUCUUACAACAACAGUUAUUAUUCGAGCAUUCAGAUGGCUCCGUAUGAGGCUUUAUAUGGGAGGCGGUGUAGAUCCCCAGUGGUUUGGUUUGAGUUGGGCGAGGCUAGGCUAGUGGGUACUGACUUGGUUCAGGAUGCUUUGGACAAGGUUAAAUUGAUUUAGGAGCGACUUCGCACAGUGCAGUCAAGACAGAAGUGUUAUGCCGAAAGAAAGGUCCAUGAUGUGUCUUACAUGGUUGGGGAGAAGGUUCUUGCUAAGGUUUCACCCAGUAAGGGUGUUAAGAGAUUCGGGAAGAAGGGAAAGUUGAGCCCUCGGUUUAUUGGGUCGUUUGAGGUGCUUCGGAAGAUUGAGGAGGUGGCCUAUGAGCUUGCUUUUCCACCAAGCUUAUCGGGUGUGCGUCCACUAUUUCAUGUUUUUAUGCUUCAGAAGUAUAUCGAUGAUCCAUCCCAUGUUUGGGAUUUUAGCAUGGUUCAGUUAGAUGGUGAUUUGACUUAUGAUGUUGAGCUUGUGGCUAUUUUGGAGCGGCAAGUUCGAAAGUUGAGGUCAAAGGAUAUAUCUUCAGUGAAAGUGCAAUGUAGAGGUCAGCCCGUGGAGGAGGCAACUUAGGAGACAGAGCAGGAGAUGCGGAGCAGAUAUCCACACCUACUUAUGGCUCCAGGUAUGUUUCUAGACCCGUUCGAGGAUGAACCUUUGUUUAAGAGAGGGAGGAUGUAACGACCCGACCGGUCAUUUCGAGAGUUGUAGCCCCAUUCCGCUAUGUAUGCAGUAAAACUGGGGGCUCGAUUUCCCCGUCAUUACGUCGCCUCGUGGGCAUGCUUAUUGAGUCUUGAAGCCAAGGUCGAGACCCACCCUUGGGCGUCAUCGGGUAUUGGCCCCAGGGGCAUUGCGUACUAACGACUACAAUAUGGGAAAAGGGGAGUUCCCAAGAUGAACAGAUAGCACUGGCAGAACCUGUUAUCGCAUCUGGCCGUCCAAUCUCCAUGCCCUUACAAUUAAUGCACUCUUGUACUAUGUUUGGAUAUCCCCUCCUAUAUAAGAAGGGUCCUUGGCACUUUGUAAACCUUGUUGCUCAAACUAUUCUGCAUAAGAUCAAUAACAUCUCUCUCUCUCUUUUCUUUCUAACUUACUCGCUCGAAACUACCUCUUUCAUUUAUUGCUUUUACAUUUGUUGCUUUCACAUUUGUUCUUCUUUUAUUGCUCCCCAAAGGUCAUAAAGAGCAUAUAACGAUUAUACUCUAACUGUUAGCCCUUCCUGAUUAUCCCCGAUAGCUCGAGCCCGAGCCCAGGCAUCGACCUCGAGGCCCCUCAUCGGUCAGUACAAGACCCGGAUAGCAAGCCCCUCAGUUUGAUUAUAAUCCUGUUUUAGUUCAUAUUUCGUUGUUAAGCUUCACAUAUCUAGCAUCAACUGCCCUAACAACUAGCAUAAAAAUAGAUCACGUAUUUUUAGAGUCCCAUUAACAAAUCUAAUUGUUAUUAUCAUUUUCACGGUAAACAGUUUGGCCCCCACCGCGAGGCUAAAAAUAAUAGUGAUUAUUUUCUUGCUGGUUUCGUUACAUAACGCAAGGUAUCUUUCACACUUUUUCUUGUCCAAGACCUUCGAUUUCAGGACAAAACAUCUGGCUCAGUAAACAGAAUGGGGAACUAGAACCUUGAAAACAGCAAAGAGAAGGACACGACUACUCCAGAUGUCGGUACACCACCGAACUCAACCCGGGCGGAAGGGGAGGCUCUCCGACAUGUCGUCCACAUGAUUAUUGGAGGAACGACAUUCCCCAAGGACCCAUGUUCAAACGGAUGAGAACGUCCACCACGGAAGAGGGACCAACCCGAAACCGCGUGCCCGAAGACACCCUCGUAUUCAGCGAGGAGGACCUCGAGGCCAUGAUAGGACCGUGUCACACCUCAUUUUUCUAAUCCGAAAAAGGAUAUAUAAUGGAGUUUUCCCAAUUAAAGUGACAAUAAUAGAAAUGAUAUUACAAGCUCAAACAAUUUCCGGAUGCAUGAUUUUUUUGUAAAUAAGUAUUGGGUUUUGUUUAACUAAAUCAAAUGACAAUAAAACUACAAUAUUCUAAAUCAAGGAUAAUUCAAUGGUAAAAAGAUAUUGGGUGUUGAUUUUCCCAAUUGCUUGAUUACUUCUUGACUCCUUUGCUAUAAUCUCACUGUAAUACUCUAUGAGGAUUAUGAGCUAUGGGUUACUGCAAUUAUCUCUCAAUCAACUACGAUAAUUUACUAGAGCAUUCUCUAGAACUACUCUAGCUGAUAAUUUAUGCAGCUCUAAAUUAUCCCACCAAAGUUUCGUUAUCUCUAACCCCACUUUUAAGUUCAAGUAAUGAAUCUCUUCAAUUACCCAAAAGUGGCGUUGUUCAACAGCAAUCUAACGUAGUAUUCUUUCUCAAGCAACACAAGGCAAUUAGACACGAUUAAUCAAGGGCCCAUUCAAUUAAUCACCAUACAAAACAUAGUUGAACAAUCAUAUAAUAAACCCGGCUCGAUUAUAACAAACUUGAGUUAAAACUUCAUCUAACAAUUGAUUCCACCAACACUAGAUUAAAUUUUAGCUACUCAUAGUAAAUCAAGAUAAAACCAUAAAAUGAUUCAUAAUUCGCAAAUAAUGAUAACAAGAAGAAGAUAGAAAAACUCUAAUGGUGUCUUGAUCUUAUCACACUUGUUCUUGCCUCCAAUUCAGUCCAAAAACUAGCUCUCCCUUUACUUGGGCGAGUUUGUUGAGUUUAUAUAGGGUUAGGAUAAGCUCCCCCACGAUUUACACUUUGGCCCUUAAACUUCUUGUCUUCCUCCAGAUCCACCGCGGUGGUUUGCAACAUUCUAUUUUUUUCCCUUCUUUUACCGCGUUCCAGUCGCGGUGGGCUGUUGCCCAGUUUUUCUUUACCUUUUCUUGCUUGUUUUCAUCCGGGCUCUUCUUGAUUGGCCUUGUAACUGCAUAUUUGACCCCAAAACACUCUAUAUUCUUCUCCUAACUUGGAGUACUACCUGCAAAGCAUAAAAACCUCAAUUAGAGCAUUUUAUUAUCAUUUAGCACUUAAAACAUCAACAAAGUAUGGUUAACUUAGAGCAUAAAUAGCGUCUACAUCGUAUAAUAUAGGCUACUAUCAAUCAUAAGCAGCAUCUUAAUGGGGAUAAUAGUAUUUAGGGUCCUUAGGAAGCAUAUAUUAUUGGUUGAAUGCCCAACGGGCCCCCUUCGAGCUCGAAGCCAUCAUGGCUCCCUCUUCUCUCCAAUUUCUGUUCAUCAAACCCUCCAAACCAUUCUGAACGGCCUGUGAUGUGGCCUUAAAGGCAGCAUGACUCAAGAUUCAGCCCGUUUUAACCCAUAUUCUACUACCUCCCCAAUUUUGGUAGCCUCAGCGAACGACUUACCCAUAGUAGACAUCAUGUUCUGGAAAUAAUCCGCCUCUUGGGCUUGUAGGAAGACCGUAACCAUCUCAGCUUCCUCCAUUGAAGGCUUUACCCUGGCAACUUGCUCACGCCAUUUGAUAGCAUAUUCAUAGAAGCUUUCUCUUGUUUUCUUUUUUAAAUUGGACAAAGAGUUUCUGUCAGGAGCGAUGUCCACAUUAUACCGGAACUGGCAGACAAAAUCUCGGGCCAAGUCAUCCCACACAUGCCAAUGGAUAAUUUCUUGAUCCAUGUACCAUUUAGAAGCGAUUCCUGCAAGACUUUCGCUGAAAUAUUCCAUCAAAAGUUCUUCUUUUCCACCAGCACCUCUCAGCUAAUUGCAAUAUCUUUGUAAAUGGGCAAUCGGAUCUCCGUACCCGUCGUACUUUUAAAUUUUGGCAUCUUGAAGCCAGCUGGCAAGUGGACAUGAGGAAACAUGCACAGGUCAGAGUAUGAGACACUCUUUUGACCCCUCAGGUAUUGCAUGUUUUUCAGCCUUUGUUCCAGGCUUUUCAUCUUCCGAGCCAUUUCCUCUUGCUCGGGAUUCCUGACAACCUUUUCUAACUCCAUGGAGAAAUCAUAUUGCAGAGGUUGAACAACGGAGUACGGGGUCACAUAUGAUAUUUCUGGUUGAAACUGUGGACCCUAAAAGGUGAACGUUGGAGGCUCAACAUAUGGUCGUGAUAUAGUUGGUAGAGCCGUGGUGCAGACUGGUGCUGCAGAGAACAUUGCUGGUGGUGACCUUGAAUCCGGUUCUUAGGGGCAAACCACAAAAGGCAUUACGAGGCCGUUAAACGACAUUGAAGGGUACCCGUAUAGCAAGAAUGGGUUGAGCACAUGGGCAUUGGUAGUCUCCCCUGACCUAGGGAUCAACUUAGGGAACCCAGGGAUUGUACUUGGCGGUUCCCUACCAUUAGACCCGGCGUCCCACAUUUCUAUCAUGUAAAGAUGCAUCAUCCUAUUCUCUUCAGCAUUUGCUGAUUCUAGUUGCGAAAUAGCCAAUGCCGGGCUAUCCUCAGGAUCGAUAAUUGGUAAAUGAAUUUCGUAGGCCAUAAGAACCUUUCCUUUGGAUCUUGUGAAGUAAGGAUGGGAAGCCAGAUUACCAACAAAACCAACCACCUGAAUAGAACUUGGCUAGUUAGCACACGUCACAACCUUGUUAGUUUUGAGACUUUUAACAUAUAGGAAAUCACACAUUGAGAUGCAAUGCACCUAACAAUUAAACGAUUCUAUCAUGUAUUUGAACGGUGCGUGUUUCAUCCCGGCCUUUCAAUGUCCCUUUCCACUCUGUACCUCUUUUCUUUCAUUUUCACUCUUUUUUUUGGAUCUUUCACAUCUUGAUUUUUUUUUUCUCUUUUUAUAGUUUUUGCUCUUUGUUUUCUCUCUGUUAUUUUUGGUCACUCUUUUCUUUAUUUUUCAUUCAAUUUUUCUCUCUUUCUUUCUUUUUUAUUUUUUUGGUUUAUUUUUCACUCAAUUAAUUUUACGGCUACGAUCGAAUCUGAUAGGGAUUGCCUACGUAUCAUGACGCCGCAUGAAUCAGAUCAUUAUGUAGUUCAGGAAAAUCAGGAGUGGAGUAAACAAACUAACUCUUUUUUUGUACUUUUUUAUAACACUCAGAUAAUAAAAGUGUUUAGAAAAAGAAUAUAUAUUUUGCAUAUUUUGGGGAAUUUCGCAAAAGAAAGCCUUUUAAAGAGGAAAGAAAAUAUUUUUAGAUUUUUGGUUUUAAUUUUUGAAAAAAAAAGACUUCUAAAGGAGAAAUAAAAUAUUUUUAGACUUUUGAUUUGAAUUUUUUUUUGAAUUUUUGUGAAAUAGACUUCUGAAAAAAAAGGUAGAAAUUUUUCAAUUUUUGAGUUUUCUUUAUAAUUUCCUAAAGCAAACUUGUGAAGAAAAGCGAAAAUAUUUUUGGACUUCAACUUUUUAAUUUUGUGACAUUUGCAAAAGAAGACUUCUAAAAAAUAAAAAUAUUUUUUUAUGGAAUUUUGUUUCUUAUUUAUUUAUUAAUUUUUGGGAAAAAUAAUUUUUAAGAAGGGAAAAACAUAUUUUUGAAUUUUUAUUAUUUAUUUUUUUGUUUUGUUUUUGAAUAAAAGACUUCAAAACAGAAGGAAAUAUUCUUGGCUUUUAUAAAAAAAAAUCUCUUUUUUUGUUUGGGAUUUUCUAUCAAAAGACUUCUAAAUAAGGAAUUAAAGGAAAAUAUUUUUGGAUUUUUGAACAUUGGGGCCGAGACCGACAAGGUUUGCCUACGUAUCUCACAUCUACUAAGAACUAGACCCACAUAGUUCGGCCAGUGUGAGCACGUGAUUUUUGCCCUAUAUGUAUUACUCUAACAAAUUCAAAACAAAAUAAUUUCUUUCAGUGUUUGUAAUUUUGGGGGAUUUUCGUGGCAUUUUCUAGUAAUUGUUUGCAUUUGUCUGUGCAUUUUUAUUUUAUUUACUUAAUGAAAAUUACAAGAAAUAUGUUGCAUUUGCAUUUAGGAUUUAACUUUAUAUUUUUAGGAUUAAUUGACAAAUUAUUUUAUAAAAAUAGGGAAAAAUCACAAAAAAUAGUUUAUUUUGCACUUUUAAUUUUAAUUUUGAAUUUUAGUAGUUUUUCCUUUUAAUUUGGUUUUUAAUUAUUUGUAGUAAUAAUUAUUAGGGCUAGUUAAUUUAAUAUGGUAGGAUAAUUUGGUUUAGAAUUUAAUUUAGGUUUUAAUUUUAAUUUUGGAAAAUAGAAAAAAAAAAGAAUUGUGAAAUUGAAAAAAAGAAAAAGAAAGAAAUAAGAGGAUUUAAAUCUAGGCCAAAAUCAACCCAGAUUUCCCCAUCCCAAACAUAAUCACCCAUGCACCCGGCCGAAACCCACGCCUCACCCGGUCCAAACCCCCCAACUAAGUCAAACGGUGCCGUUUUUUUCUUGUUGAUCUGGACCGUUGAUCUCAGUUGAUCAAACGGUCCGCAACUUAGCCCUUACUUGAUAUAUAUCUGUCCUAACGCCCUACCCCCCCCCCCCAUUUCAUCGUUCCAAACACCCCCGUCUAUCAGAGAACACAAGCCUAACCCCAGCAGUCAGGAGCCCGCCUAAAGAGUAGGGAAUACUUUCAAGCGCAACAGUCAGGAGCCCACCUGGAGAACAAGGGAACACAAUUUAAGUUUUUAGCUUUCUUGUCUAUUUGAAGUCAGGAGCCCGCCUGGAGAGCAGGGAAUACUUUCAAAUGCAGCAGUCAGGAGCCUGCCUGAAGAGUAGGGAAUACUUUCAAGCGCAACAGUCAUGAGCCAUACUGGAGAACAAGGGAGUACAAUUUAAGUUUUUAGCUUUCAAAUUCUUUGUUUUGUCUAUUUGAUGUCAGCAGCCCGCCUGAAGAGCAGGGAAUACUUUCAAAUGCAGCAGUCAGGAGCCCGCCUGGAGAACAAGGGAGUACCAUUUAUGUUUUAGCUUUCAAAUUCUUUGCUUUGUUUAUGUUGAAGUCAGGAGUCCGCCUGAAAAACAGGGAAUGCAUUUCAAGUCAGUAGUCAGGAGCCCGCCUGGAUAGCAUGGGAAAUACAUUCGCAUUUUGAAGUCAGGAGCCCGCCUAGAUAGCAGGGAAUACAUAUCAAGUUCAGCAGUCAGACACCCACCUGAAGAAGGGGAAAACAUCUCAGUUUACAAUUUAAGGUGGCAACAAACGGAUGUCUACGAAAGAAUGGAGAACAACAAGGCAACAAAAAGCACAAGAUCAAGUUUGAAGAUAUAGAUAGGACUUUUGUAAUCCAUAGAUCAUAGUCUAGUCUAGCUUCUUGUUUUAUUUUGACAUGGUGUAAUAAGGAGGUUCAGUAAGUAGUAGCAGCAGCAGCAGCAGUGGAAGCCCAAAUUCAUGGUAGUCCCAGCUACCAAACAUUCCUAAACUACACUGACCUGAUUCCUUUUUAGUGAAGGAUUUGUAGGUAACCUCGGAAGUAGGGUGCGGUCAAAUCUUUCAAAAAUGCUUCACGCGGAGUAUUCAAACGGACAAAAAUCACUCGUAUCCGCUCACUUAUCUUUGCACAAAAACUCUUCGUGUUUUCGGGCAAAGAGGGGCAGCUGAGAGCACGUGAUUUUUGCCCUAUAUGUAUUACUCCAACAAAUUCAAAACAAAAUAAUUUCUUUCAGUGUUUGCAAUUUUGGGGGAUUUGCGUGGCAUUUUCUGGUAAUUGUUUGCAUUUGUCUGUGCAUUUUUAUUUUAUUUAGUUAAUGAAAAUUACAAGAAAUAUGUUGCAUUUGCAUUUAAGAUUUAACUUUACAUUUUUAGGAUUAAUUGACAAAUUAUUUUAUAAAAAUAGGGAAAAAUCACAAAAAAUAGUUUAUUUUGCACUUUUAAUUUUAAUUUUGAAUUUUAGUAGUUUUUUCCUUUAAUUUGGUUUUUAAUUAUUUGUAGUAACAGUUAUUAGGGCUAGUUAAUUUAAUAUGGUAGGAUAAUUUGGUUUAGAAUUUAAUUUAAGUUUUAAUUUUAAUUUUGGAAAAUAGAAAAAAAAAAAGAAUUGUGAAAUUGAAAAAAAGAAAAAGAAAGAAAUAAGAGGGUUUAAAUCUAGGCCAAAAUCAACCCAGAUUUCCCCAGGUCAAACAUAAUCACCCAUGCACCCUGCCGAAACCCACGCCUCACCCGGUCCAAACCCCCCAACUAAGUCAAACGACGCCGUUUUUUUCUUGUUGAUCUGGACCGUUGAUCUCAGUUGAUCAAACGGUCCGCAACUCAGCCCUUACCUGAUAUAUAUCUGUCCUAAUGCCCUACCCCCCAUUUCAUCAUUCCAAACACCCCCGUCUAUCAGAGAACACAAGCCUAACCCUAGUUGAGCCGCCCCUAAAUCCGCCAUCGUCCGGUGGCGGCACCACCUCCAAACGCCACCAAAACAACACCCCAUGACCCCCCACUCCCCUCUUUCUAAAUUCCGGACCAAUUUCCUUCGAAUCUGCCCAGAACUUCUCGAAUCUUGAUCUGAAGAAAAGAACCCUAAAAUCCCAAAGUCCAAAUCAACGGGUGUGCUAAAGAUUUCAGACUGUAAUGGACUUUAUUCGGGUUUUUUCACAUGAAAACACACGAUUAAGGGCUAUUCCGGUCAGGAAUUUGAAAAGCCCUUCAAAGUUUGUCGAAUCGGCUCCUGGCUGGUGUUAGGUAUCUUCUUUGUUCGUUUUGUUUAUUUGUUUAUCUUUUCUUUUGUGUUUCUGCUUCAUCUCUUCUUCUGGGUUUUGUUUAGUUGUUCCGGAGUUUUGUUAUUCAUGCAUGAUUAGUUCGGGAUCCUUUUUUAAUUAGUUAAUCGUCUAGUAGUUCAGUUAAUUCCCUCUAUUUGUGUCAGUUAGUAGUAAUUUAGUUUAGGGUCUUAGUUUUAAAAAUUGUUCCAGUACUUGGAUGGUUCUGUCUCUCAGAAGCUCAUAGAAUUUAGGGUUGUUAAUGUACGAAUUGGGCUUUAGUCUGUUGUUGACCCAUCUCGAAAAUGUAGCCCAUUUAAUUUGGUCUAUAUCCUUGGGUCUAUUUGACCCGUUUGGAUUUCUGAAGUAAUUUUCAAAGGGUUAAGGGGUAAAUUAGGUAAUUGAUUUAGGGAAUCUAGGGUGUAACUGUUUGGGAAGCUUCUGGGAAGCUGGGGAGGGGACUACUUUGCAAAAGCAGAAUUUAAACUAGGGGUGUUUAAGCUAAAAGGAAAAUCAAAAAAGGGACCAAAGGGCAAAAAUGAACUCUUAAGGCUGCCCUGUUUUCUUGCCUAUAAAGGCAUCAUUUUCUUGCCUUUCAAGGCAGACCCAGGAGACUUGAAAAAGAAUAAAAAUUCUAGAAAACAAAAACAGCUGAAACUUCUACAGAGAAUACUGUUUCAUUGGGUUUUAGCUUUGUAAUCUGAAAUCCUCUUCUUUCUGAAUAGAUGUUCCUGAUUGUUUGAGCUUAGAAAUGGUUUGAAACUUAGUCAUUAAGGUUGGUUCUGAGGGCAGCUAGUUUAAUUGUGUGUUUGAGACUGGUUUCUGGGCUGCAAUACUUCAUUUCUGGGCUUUUGAACAUGUUUUGUUGGUCUGUUUCUGUUACUGGAACCUGCUGCUGAUUCCGUGUUGUCUACUGCUGAUUUUCCCUUUUUCUUAUUUCGUUUAAUUCCAGGUAUUCCUUGAUUCUAUAGGAGAUAAAAUGCAAGUAUGAGAGCUAUAAUUACAUGAAGAUCUCCAUGAAUGAAUACUGUUUUCCUUUUUUUAAUCAUCAAUAUUAGCUGUUUACUUGGAAUUUCUGGAGUUUAGUGGUAUAUUAUAAUGGCAUUUAGCCUAAUCUGUCCAUUUUAAUAUAACAGUAGUAUGUUACUCCUUAGAAAACUCAUGUUGCCUUUCGUUUGUGAUGAAAACACAUGGUCUGAUGGUUUGAUUGUAUGUAAGUAGUUCAGAACAUUUGGAUCUUGUAUAUAGGGACUGUGAUUUAAGCCAUUCACUGUUUGUUAUGCAUAUUUUCAAGCAUGUGGUUAGACUCUGUUGAGUUUUAGCUUAUUAUUUAGUUUUUGUCUGAAAUCAGAAUGCAUGCGAUUAAAAGGGGUAACUGCCUGCUUUGGUGGGAAUAAAAUUUUAUGAAUACUGGUCUGAUUGGCAUAAGUCUCUGGGUACUCAAGGUAAUUGGGUGCAUGCAUUGGGUUGAGAAUGAAUUUUUGACUUGUUUAGAUAUGUAAAAACUUUCUAUGGUAGGAUAAGGUCAAAAUGCAUUACUCAUUAUGAUACAAGUUUAAAACUAGAUCAAACAUGCUGUCCAUGAUGAGAAUUCCAUUGUCAUUGCUUGCUAAGAAAAACGAGCCCAGAGGUUGUUUGCACACAUAUUGGUUUUUUUUAUUGUUGAAUAUCGCUGGUUUUUGGCCAGCCGAGACUCGAUACUGAGUUCUCCACUCAGACCUGUUGAGGCUUCGAAAUUGGGCUCAUUUAUGGGCCCAAGCUUAACAGCUUCUUUCGAGUAUGAUUUCGGUCGUAAUUGCGGCCCAGUCAUGCCCAGGCCUUUCACUAGCCUUUCUGGCUCUGGACUUCACAUAGGAAGCCCAUUUGUGGUCUUUGAUUGUUAAUUAAACGACCAUAGGGAACUUUAACUUCAUCGAGUGCUAAAUAAUUCAGCCUUUAAAACAAUUGAGGUGAACGAUGUUAAUGACGCCAAUAGUUUAUGGCCCUCAUAAUUUUAAAAAUAAAAAUUUUAGGCAAUUAGAUUUGAGGCGUGCCAUUUAGCGAUUUCCCAGGGCCCUCGUAAAAUUAAAAUGCGUAGUCGCUUUAGGGCGCGUUAUUUAAUGAUUUUACUUUCUUAAACUCGGGUGCGCAUUUCAUGUGACCCAAGUCAAAUCUUAAAAUAUUGAAUGAAAUAUAUUUAGGACUGCGGGUGCAUUUCAUGUGGUGCGAUCCAAAGACGUGUUUUAAACGACGUUCAAUCUUCUUUUUAAAAUAAUUAAAAACGGUUAAAAGUUAAAAUUAUACCAUAUGUUAAAACAUGUACUAAAAUCAGAUAAUAGACCAAUUAUAACAGUUGAGCGACCGUGCUAGAACCACGGAACUCGAGAAUGCCUAACACCUUCUCCCGGGUUAACAGAAUUCCUUAUUCGGAUUUCUAGUUCGCGGACUGUUAAACAGAGUCAACCUUUUCCUCGAUUCGGGAUUUGAACCGGUGACUUGGGACACGAUAAAUCUCUCAAGUGGCGACUCUGAAUCUUUUGAUAAAUAAAUCCCGUGUCGAUUCUCCUUUAAUUGGAAAAACUCUUUUUAUACACCCCUCUCGGGGGUGUAGGUGAAAAAGGAGGUGUGACAACCAGUUUUGAUGGAACAGGGGGAACAUGACUUUUUGAACACAUUGGCUUAUUUUUUUUUGUCUUUUUUUUAAAAAAAAAAUUCGGUAGAGUUUCGGAUUUCAAAUACCUACCUAUCACUCUUUUUUUUCAUUUUUUUUCUUUUCCUAUUCUAGAAGCCAGUCAACAUGCAAGCCGAAACAAAAAAAUGCACAGGUAACACGUAAAAUGCAUCAGGAUAGUUUUUUUAAUUUGGGCACACCUGUCCUAGACGGAUCCAACCCCUGCGUUGAGUCCCCAAAGUCAAAUGCAUGUGAUGCAAACAAACGUUCCUACUAGGAAUCCAACAUGAGGCUAUGUUAUUCUAAGAUUAAAUCCUGGAGUGUAUUGUUCUAGACCUGGCUUACCCGAGCGGACAACUCGAGCCGAUGAGGGGCAGUGUACAGGGAAUAUAGAAGCUUCACCAGCUUUGCAACUUAUCCGAUCCUCGUUCUAAAAUUAGGAUAUGACUCCAACAGAAAAAAAAGUCAUGCCAGAGUACACUUCCCAGAAGAUUUUGAAGACUCAGAGAGAAGAAGGGUUUCGUAACAGUUUUAUAUACAGUUCACAUAAUAUCAAAGCGGCAUUUAGCAUAUUAGGAUCAAACACGUAAAAAUCAGAUAAUAAGCAAAAGCAAAGUAUCACAGUUAUUCUAAAAUCGAAUUAUGAACCAUGAACCAGAGAUUCUGGGUUUGAUUCUCCCAGCAGAGUAGCCAGAUCUGGCACACCUCAUUUUUCCCGAGGGGUAGGGAGUUUUUUCAAUUAAUGUAUCAUUGUUCGAAAUGAGAUUAUUUAUUGAUUCAGAGUCGCCACUUGAAAUAAUUUAUGGUGUUUCAAAUCACCGAUUUAUUUUAAAUACCAAAUCGAGGAAAUUUGACUCUUAUUUAUGGUCUGCGAAUACAGAAGACCGAGUAAGGAAUCUUGUAAACCCGGGAGAAGGUGUGAGGCACUCCCGAGUUCCGUGAUUUUAGCACGGUCGCUCAACUAUUAUUAAUUGGCCUAAUUAUCUAAAUUAUUAUAUGGUCAGAACCUAUUGUGUAUUUUUAACUUUCUAACCGCUUUUAUUUAACCAUUUUUAGUAUUUAUGGAAUAUGUUUGAAUAAGCCGCGAUGUCGCGCACUCAUUUGUUUUUGUAAAAACUGCGAAUCCAUCACGUGAAAUGCACCCACGAUUUACAACAUGUUUAUUUUAUUAUUAUCUGAUGUUAUGGUCGAGUCAUGUGAAACGCACACUCGAAUUAGGAUUUUGUAUCAUGACUAUGCCACGGGAACCGUACCCAUAGUCACGAUGAUUUAUUAAUUGCGCAUAAAUCAAGCUUGAUGUUCAUGAAUAAUUAUUAUUCCUAUGUUUAAGAUCGAUCAUGAAGGUCCAAAGUUUAUGGAAAAGCAUAUGGCAAUGCUUAACUAGACAACUUCAAUUAUUUAACAAGUUCAAAUUAAUGUCUUUUGUUUUUCCUUCAAAUGUUGAUGGAGCUCACGUCAAACAAGGAAAACCACUAAUAAUAAACUAAGUGGGUGUUCUUUUCUUGAUUACUUAUAUCAAACAUGGAUUAUUGCUAGAAAAAUUAUGGGAAGCCUCACUGCGCUGGGCCUUCAUAUUAAACCUCCAAUUAGGUCAUGCAAACAAGAACAGAAAUGGGUUCACUGGAAUCCGAAAGUGACUCUUGAAAAUGGCUAGCCCUUUAAGUAGGCCAACAAAUCUUUUGUGGGGCCUUAAACCAUUAAUCCAUACAUUUGUCGAGUCCAAACUGACUCUCAUUUCAUACACGAUCCAUCGACGUGUAGUUUUCUUAACGUGAUUUUGAAAGGCAUAAAUCAAUUAAUACACAUGUUUAUACUACAACAUAUUCAAUAUAUUGAAGAAACAGAACCAAAGAAGAACGUAUCCACACAUGUAAUUUCUUCUAACAAACUACAGUAUCAUUCAUUAUUACAUUCACAAUUACCAAGAUCUAGAGCAUAUAACAAAUUUACAUGCUUUCAGUUCCAUAUGACCUUCAACGAAUGACCUUCAGCUAUCCAAAUUUCCUAUGACUUUACCUGUUUCUCAUUAAAGAUUUAUCCAAAUACUUAAUUUUUCUAGUAAUUUCAGAGAUUAAAAAAGGAAAGAACUUCAAAUAGAUUUAGACUUUAGACAUGUUGAAUCCAAACUAUUGAACAUGAUUAGAGAAAGCAGUAUCAUAAUCUUAACAUGGAAACAAUUCAAAAUGCUUAACAACUACACAUGCUAAGUCUAUGCAUUUGGACAUAAUUAUGACAAAUAGAUCGAAUUUUCUCAUAUAGACUUCAAACAGGGGCAACAGAUAUGUGAACAUACCUAAGUAACCAAAGAAUAACAGAGAAUGGUCAAAGGAUGGUUUGAAAAUGAAAUAGGAAAUCCAGCAAGUCCAGCAGCAGUGGAUUCAAUAACUUCAACACCUCUAACAGCUCAAUCGACUCAGAGAAAACCAGAAAAUAUAGUGAUUGAAUAGAAAUCAGAAAACCAACUCUAGACAUCCUUCUUCAUCCCUUUUUAUGACCUUUUUCCUUGCCUUUUUGGGAGUUUUAAACUUUUUCUAAAUCUGAAGACUAGAGGUUGAAAUCCAGAGUUUUGUUUGAAUUAAAAAAAAUGAGGAGAAGAUAGUGAAUUCUCUUAAAAUUUCUCUCGACAGUGUGAAAAUUUGUCUCAAAAACGAAGAAAAGAGUAUGAAUUUCAGAGUGUGUUUUCGUGUGUGUGAGUGAGUAAUAUAUGGCCCUCUUAUAUAGAGUGUGAGAAUAUGUUAU